RNAcentral lists this long non-coding RNA (50264 nucleotides) under Lotus japonicus. RNAcentral's name for it is "long non-coding RNA (LJAP_LNC000047)". Lineage: Eukaryota; Viridiplantae; Streptophyta; Magnoliopsida; Fabales; Fabaceae. The record is from RNAcentral.
CCAGUUGAGGUUUAUUUCAAAAAAAAAUUUAAAAAUACAAAAAAAAACUCAAAAAAUGUACGAAUUUUUUUCCAAGCCAUGUUUUCCUCCAAUACCAUCAUUGCACUGCCUCCCAUGACCCAUAUUCUAACUAUUUGAUCAAAGAGGCCUUUUCGUAUGUCAUAUUUCCCCCAAUUUCAUUCAAAUGACACAUCCAUAUUUCCAUACUAAAUUACUUAAAUAACAAAAUAAAAGGAUAGUAAUUUUUCUGCGCAAACAUAAAAUUAUUGUGAGGGGAAUUGGCCCAUGAUAUAGCACCUAAAAACAUCACCCAGUUUCUGUUUCAAAUGUUGUCUAAAAUAAUAAUAAGAAGAACAUGAAGGUAAAAGUAGACAUGGACAUCCUCAUUGCCAUUGCUUGAAGUAGAUUUUUCGGUAUAUUAUUUAGAUGCUAAAUCUUCACAAUGUAGAUUGACAAUGGAAGUCUUCUCCAACAGCCAAAUAUCUUUGAUGCUGAACAAAAGGUAAAGAAAAAAUUGAAAUCACAUAUCACCAUUUUAACAGAAACAAAACAAAGCAGAAAAAUAAACAUGAACUCUAUUUGUGAAGCUUAUGGUGAAAGUCUUAGUGAAAGCUCCAUGUAGAAGGAUUGAUUCUGGUGAAUGAAUCCAUUAUUUUCUCUUUGUUGUCCUGCACAAUUAAACUUGUUGGUACUAACAGAGAAUUUCUCAGCAAAAGAUCAGGAAUCAUCUCUUUAAAAUUAGAAACAAACAGGGUUAUAGGGACCAAAGAGAGAAAAAAGCAAUAUUAAGCUUUGAAUUCAUGCUAUUUUAUUGGGAGUCCAUAACUAAACAAUAUAGAGACUUUAUGAAGGUAGGAUGUACAAUGAAGACAUUGCGUGGGCAUAUAUUAGGGACACCACUCUAACACAUACAUGAACAGCUAAACAACAAAACAACUAAAACAAUAUAAACUCAUUCUUCAAAUUAAAAACACAUGUAUUGAACUCAUUUUUCAAGACAAUAUCUCCCGCAGAUAUAGGGCAUUAGAAAAGAAGGCAUGACCCAGAAAACUCCUCAAGAUAAGACCCAAAUUGAAAGCUAUAUCAGUUAACUAUGGUUGAAAUUGAUUUUGAAUGGCAACACAUUUAAAAAAAACAAUGCCAUCUAAACUAAGUUUUCACUUAUCCAAAUAGAACUGCUCCCGCAGUCUCUGCAUUCAAAGCCACAGAAAAAAUCAAGAUUAGUGUAAUCAAUUGAACAACUUACUUCUUGCACAUGAUCAAUCCAAAGGAAAUAUUGCAAUACAUAUUCAGAUUUCAAUAACAAAAUCUGAAUGCAGCAGAGAAGAAAAUUAACAGCUAACUUCUUGUAGAUGAUCAAUCUAAAGGAAAUCCUACAAUGCAGAUUAGAAAUUUCAAUAACAAUAAACUGCACCUAGAUCUUUCUUCAAUCACAAAGAGGGGAUAAUAAAAGAAUUAUUCCAAAUGAUCCUUGGUAGAAUAGAAGUAAAAAAGAAAAAAAAAGACAUUAGCCUGGAACCUCACUUAAUUUUCAAGAUAAACUGUUCCAGAGAACCAAAUGAAGCCAAAAACAUGGUAAAUUAAGGUCAAUAGUCCUCACUUAGUUUCUAAUAUACGUGGAUUCCACUAACUCUGAGAUUGAAUGUGAGAGCAAAAUGCACCAGGUGAUGACACCUCAGCAUUGGGUUCUCAUAACCCUUGCUCUUUUAAUAUAUGUAUUGAUUGAUUAAUAAGAUGAAAUUCUUGAAAUUUACCCGUGACUGUAUCCCUUCAAUGCCUGCUCUUGAAAUUCUUGAAAAAUGAUCCUUUCCUUCCAACCACUCAAUGGAUAAUAACUUGUUUGUAGUACCUUCAUGGGUUUUCACAACAGGAAUGGUAGACACUACAUGACUUCUACCAACCAUUCUGCAUUUCCUUUAAUACCAAUGCAUCCUGCAAAAUUUCAAAAGAAACUUCAUUCAGGUUAGUACUUUGUUAUGUUAUAUUUCACUCCCCAUAACAGAUAUAACACAAACCACACUGAAAAUUUGCUUCCUCUUUCUUCUCUUCUCAGUUAUUAGGUUCCUCUUGUUUCUUCUCAUUAGCUUUCUAAAAAAAGUCACAUAAUAAUGAAAAGAUCUUCUCCUUACUUAUUAUAGGAAUGUCAAUCUUGAUAGUACUGUGAGAUCCAACUUGCUAUGAUUUGGACCUUUUUUUCCUUGCAUCUUUGAGUCACUUUGGAUCUUCCUUAGUUGAGUACCUUAGAUUUGUAUGAUGAAUCUCUGUAGUACACAGAACACCCAAAUAAUUAUAAAUAGAGAGAAACAGGACAAAGAGAAAACAAAUUAUAUUUUAAUAAUUUGUCCACUAACCUUCUUUUGCAACUAUAGCGACUAAAGUUUUUGACAUAUUCUUCAACAUCCUGUAGGAAAUAUUCAAUGAAAUGAUAUUAGUGAUAAUAAUUCGGGUGGGGGCAAUGAGGGGAUAAAAGAAAAAUUAGAGAUGUUAAUAUGCUAUAACCUCCACCUCUCCAAGGGUCUCUUAAACCAUUGUAGAAGAUAAUGUUGCUUGCAGACCUUUUCAUAAUAUGUUGAUGAAUCAGGGGUUAAACCAUCUAUAACUUGAAACCACCUAUGUAUCUAAAAUGCCACCAAAAGAUUCCAACCAAAAAAAAAUUAUGUCAUGGAGGUAGGAAAUUAAUCUGUUGCCGGACUCAUAUCCAUAUAAACCUGAGACAUUUAGCGGACCAUCAUAAAUAAAAGGUAGGAAAUAUGACACAGGUCUAAUCUGUUUAAUCCAUUCCUUUAGAUCAGAGACAAAGUAAGAGAAGCUAAGUGGAAAUAUUCAAAAUUAAAAUUAGUGAUAAAACCUACCAAAAUUUCAAACUAAUAUAUCAAUAAAAGUACCCAGAUUUAAAAGACCACCAAUUGUUAAUGGUUCUCAUUAUAAAAUUAGCAACAAUCAUUAACUUAUAAUUUACACACUCACAAACCUGCAAAUGGUUAACCCAUCUAUGAUAGCCACCUUCUGAUGAACAACUUUGCGCUUGAUCUGAUUCAUAUAAGAAAUCCAUUAAAAAUCAGUAAGGAUUUAAGGAGGGAAGAAGAAUAUGGGAAUGGAGAGUGGAAGAUGGUUAAAGAACUUACCUUGUAGUCGCAGAUGGAAAGAAAUGGUGGUGAAACUGUUUCAGAUGUAACAAAAAAAAUCAGUAAUCGAAAUGGGGAGUUGUGAAGGGGAAGGAGAGCAGAUGAACAAAAGGAGAAAGCAUAACCUCUCUUUACAACCUAUUCAGAUCAGAAUGAAAACAAAAAAUCAGAACCCAAAAUAAAAGAUGGUAACUUGGAAAGAUAAGGAUGAAGAAAGAGCAUAGUCAGGGGGAUGCUACUGCCGUAAUGGCAGUCCCAUAACUCUUGCUCUCGCUUUAAUCUGGAGCUUUCGGUCAGAAACUAAUCAAGAAUCAAGAGCACUACACAUUGGAACUAAAACCGUUCGUGAAGAAUGAGAAAUUUCACAAAUAAGAAUCAUAUCUUUAGAAUCGCGAAUCAUGAAUCAGACUGAUUUUUAGAAAUAAUAUUAAGUGUAAUUGAAACAAAACAGUUUCAUGAAUCACAUACAUGACCACUCGAACAAAAAAAUCAAAACAUGAAAUUUAUAAUCCAGGGAUUUAGCACAGCAAAAUGUUAACAGUUAUAGAAACAAAUGGAAAAUCUAUCUAUUCUCCAAUAACAGAAGAAGAAAUCAAAAAAUUACCUGACAUUUAGGCAUAUGAGAGGAAGAGAGAGAAAGAGGAACUCUCUGGUGCUUUCUAGAGAGUUUAUUAGCAGCGUGAACCUUCUUAUCACAUUUCCAACAUAGCGCCGCCUCAUCAGCACAACACAGAACCUUCGCCUCCACACCUGAAUCUUGAUCCUCCAUAAAAUUGAUCCUCUUAGCUAUGGAAAAUGAUCAAAUUCACAGAGAGAAGAAGAAGAUGAUGGAGAGAUAGAAUUUAGAGGAAACGCGCAUUGAACACACCAGAGACCAAAACAGAGGAAGGAGGGUGUCGUGGUGUGCAAACGAAGGUUCUAGUUACCAGUAAGACGUCUAUGGUACCAUCAUCUCUGUGUCCCAAUCAAGGGGAGAGCAAGGCAGCUGCUACAGAAAUGAAAUUGACGCCAGUCGAAGCCCUCACAGAAACCUUGACACCCUACCGACCCCAAACUAACGGGCUCUGGGUAGAGGGAUAGGAAAGUUGGAACCUUUGAGACAGGGAAGAGAAGGUUCUGGAGCAAGGAAAAUGGAGAGAGGAUGCAGGCUUUGAAUAGGAUGGAAUUGAAAGAGUAACGGAAGCCACUCGAUUGGCCAAUGAAACGGUAGCCAUCUCUGGAAUGGGAACGUCUGUGGGUGGUGAUUCUCAAUAUUUUGAAAAGAGAAAAGAAAUGGAAAUUAAGGUUAAUUGCACAUAGAAAAUAGAUAUAAUUUAUUCCUUAAUAUAAAAAUAGGGAAUGGAGAAGGGACGGUUAAGCCAAUCAAAUCAAUGGAGGCUUAAGAAUUUGAAAUUUUUCAGAUAAUAAGGAAGUAUGGUUCAGAUUUAUAAAUGUGAAAUAAUAAUAUGAGAAAGGGGAGUAAAAAGAGAGAGAGAGAAAAGUAAUGGUAAUUAAGAAAAACAAUAACAAAGAACACACAUUUCUUAACGAUCUAUCCUACACUGCUGAUGAUUAGAAAAUAAGAGUACGAAUUUCACAAAUAUGGUAAUUUACUACUUUAUAUUCUACAUUGUCUUUUCUAAACAAUUUUUUCAUUCAAUUGAAUCAUACAUAUAUCAUCAUUUCUAUAUCUAUAUGACACAAAGUAGUAACAAAGUGUGAACCGCAUACAUUUCUAUACUGCAAUAAACAAAUAAGUGUAUUGCUCAUUAAGUCCUUCACUUAUGAUGUGAUGAGAAAUAAGAAUCUUACACUUCUCAAUAUUGUCAUAUUUUGUCAUUAUGGACAACAAAAAAUCAACCCAACUCAAUCCUUCAAAGAGAACAAAAGUCCAGCUAGAUAGAAAUCUACUUUUUAUAUUUGUGAAACUGACUUUAAAAGAACUUCUUCAAUGCCAUCAACAUUUGUAAACAACUACAUCAACUAGAUAGAAAUCUACUUUUUAUAUUUGUGAAACUGACUUUAAAAGAACUUCUUCAAUGUCAUCAACAUUUGUAAACAACUACAUCAACCUGGAUAAAAAAAAAUCAACACAAUUGAUAACAUGAUUGCAAUGACUUAAUCGGUAUAAGGAAAAAAAUACUAAACUUAGUUACUUCAUUUCAAUUCUAAACCAAAAAAGUAAUUAAAUUUAUGUUAUAUCAAAUUAAAACUACUCUCAUUUCAAUUUCAUUGAAAAUCGACCAGUUUGGUCCCUUUUUUCCGUUAGUUAUUAUGCCUUUUUCCCUCUUCAGUUACAAAUCACUCAUAUAACACUCUUACUCAUUGUGCACCAACAAUAAUUGCCCACAAAAAUUUGUUUCGAAAUGACAAUAAAAAAACCAAGGUCAGUCAUUAAACUAUGCCUGUAUUUUGUCACAGUCAAUUAUAUGUUUUAGGGUUAAGCAUCAUAUUAGUCCCUGUCUUUGUGUCACCGUCUGACUUAGGUCCCUCGCCGGAAAAAUUAUUGUAAAUGGUCCUCAUCUUUAAAAAGUUUUUGGAGCGGAUCCUCGCCGGAGGUCGGAGCUUCGGCGAGUGCUUAAAUGGCAUGCUGACUGUGUUUAAUGAGGUGACGUGGAUUAUAAAAAAUUAAAAAAUUAAAAAAUUAACAAGUCAGAUUUUUAAAUUUAAUUAACAUAUUCCUAAUUGUGUUAUAAACCUAAUUAAAUCAACUAAAUUAAUUUCCCCAAAGUUAUCUCAAUUCACCCCAACUAACCCAAAUCCCCAAUUCAGACAAAACAAAUUAGGGUUCAUAACUUCUUCCCCUCUUAUUCUUCUUCCUCCUCUGGUUCAUCAUGUUCUGUUACUAGAAAGGGGAGAAGAAAGAAAGAAAAACGACAAGGAGAAGAGGCUUGAGUUCGGUUCUGAAUAUCUGGGUUUGGAUCCGAAAUUUUGGGUUUGGAUCUAGGUUUAUCAUAGGAGAAGGAGAAGAAGGUGAGAGAGAGGAACAGAGAACGAGAUUAAAGAUUGAAGAAGAUGAAGCAGAAAUUUGGGAUGAAUAGAAGUUACUGAUGGUAGUGGGUGUGGAUCUAGGGCUCGCGAACGAGAAUCUUGGCCACCACCACCACUCACGGCUUGGCCACCGCCACUAAUUCUGAGGGCUGUCUAUGAUUACCCAUUUGAACCUUUAUUAGGAUAUAUGUAGUCACAUGCUGACAUGGCAUUGCUGACAUGUCAAUCUGUAACAGAAUUAGUUAUUAGGUGUAACAGAAUCAGUUACACAGUAACUGAUUCUCUCUCUCUCUCUCUCUCUCUCUCUCUCUCUCUUAGUAACAGCUUGCUACGCAAGCUUCUCUGAUUCUAUAAAUAGCUAAAUGCUAUUCAUUGUAACUCAACUUUUCAGAAAUACAAUUCAGUUUACAAUUCAGUUAGAAUUUCAACAUGGUAUCAAGAGCAGGGAACGAUCCUUGAUUUUUUUUUUUUUUCUCUGGUUUCUCUUCUUCUUCACCAUGGCUGGUGAAGCUCCAGAAGCUCCUGUGCCAGUGGCUCAACCAUCGUUGAGUGCUUCUUCUCUGGUUCACAAGCUCACCUUGAAGCUUGAUGAUACGAACUUCCUCUCAUGGAAGCAACACGUAGAAGGAAUUGUGAGAACUCAUCGCUUGCAGAGUUUUCUCACAGCACCGCAGAUUCCUCUUCGUUUUCUCACUGAUGAGGAUCGUGAGAAUGUGGUUGAAAAUCCUGCGUAUCAAGCCUGGGAACAACAGGAUUCAGCGUUGUUCACUUGGCUUCUAUCGUCUCUUUCACCUACUGUUCUUCCUACUGUUGUGAAUUGUACUCAGUCAUGGCAGGUUUGGGAAGCAGUGCUUGAUUUCUUCCACGCACACUCGCUUGCUCAGUCCACACAACUCAGAUCUGAGUUGCGAUCCAUCACCAAAGGAUCGAAGAGUUCUUCCGAUUAUCUGAAGCGUAUCAAAUCCAUUGUGAACGCUUUGAUCUCGAUUGGAGAUCCGGUUACGUAUCGUGAGCAUCUUGAAGCGAUUUUCGAUGGCCUUCCUGAGGAGUAUAGUCAUCUCAUGACUAUUGUGAGUAGUCGCGAGUUUCCGUGCUCGAUCUCGCAAGCUGAAGCUAUGGUCAUCGCACACGAAGCACGUUUGGAGCGUAUGCGUUCGCGUCAGACUCCUGUGACUUCUCCGUCUGCUUUCCUUGCUCAGGCAGUUGCGCCUCCGUCAGCGCCACCGCAAGCGCCACCGUCUGCGCCACUUCCUGCGCCAUCACCAGCGCCGCCUCCUCCGCCUUCAUCAGUCGCAUCUGAGGUUCAUUACGCCUCUCGCACUGAUUCAGAGGAUCGUGCAUAUGAAGAUCGCGAUGAUGAUCGUUCUCGCUCCGGUGACAAUCGCGAUCGCGGAGGCUACAACAACCGUGGACGCGGUGGACGUGGUGGUUACAACAACCGUGGACGCGGUGGUGAUCGAUCUUCAGUUCAGUGUCAGAUCUGCCAUAAGUAUGGUCAUGAUGCUAGCAUCUGCUAUCAUCGAGGCAACUCUGCUUCCCCUGCACAGAAUGCUCAGCCAAACGUGUCUUCCAACACACCUAUGCCUUCUCCUUAUGGUUUUGGCUCAUCUUAUGGCAUGAUGCCUCAGUUUGGAUACUCACCUUUUCGUGGAUUUCAACCUUUUGGUGCACCUGCACAGUUUGGCAUGCCUUUUGCUGGUGGAUCUGGUUUUCCCCUUGCAUCUGGUGCAAUGUUUGCCCCUGGCUAUGGAUAUGCUUCUCCAGCAUCAUCCACCUUUGGUUUUGGCUUCCAUCCUCGAGCUCCACCACCACAGCCUCGUGCACCACAAGCUAUGCUAACUUCUGCACCUUCCACUCUAGGAAAUUGGUUUCCAGAUUCAGGUGCAACUCAUCAUGUUACUCAUGAUGCUUCUGCAGUUUCCGAUUGUGUGUCAGUGACUGGGAAUGAUCAAGUGUACAUGGGAAAUGGUCAAGGUUUGCCUAUCACAUCCAUUGGUUCAGCUUCCUUUUCUUCUCCCUUUCACACACACACUACUCUUCAACUUAAAAACCUAUUGUUAGUUCCUAAUAUUACUAAAAACCUGGUUAGUGUUAGCAAAUUUGCAAAGGAUAAUGGUGUUUUCUUUGAGUUUCACCCUUUUCAUUGCACUGUUAAAUCUCAGGAUACUUUUAGGACUCUUCUCCGAGGCUCUCUUGGUCCAGAUGGCUUAUAUUCCUUUGAUGGCAUGCACUCUUCAACAUUCAACAAGGGUUCUCCUCUAGUUUCUGCCCCAUCUGCCUUCUCAGUGUCCAAGCCUGCAUCUUCUGCAGUUACUUCUUCUGUUUCAGUUUCAAAUAAUGUACCUAGUCCCACAGCUUAUGACUUGUGGCAUUCUAGAUUAGGGCAUCCUCAUCAUGAGGCUCUGCAAUUAGCACUAUCCACUUGUAAGAUACCAGUUCCUCAUAAAUCAAAAUAUAACAUUUGUCAAUCUUGUUGUGUUGCAAAGUCUCAUAGAUUGCCUUCAUCUUCCUCUACUACUAUAUAUACUGCACCUUUAGAAUUAAUUUUUGCUGAUUUAUGGGGUCCUGCCUCCAUUGAGUCUUCUACUGGCUAUCUUUACUUUCUCACUUGUGUUGAUGCUUAUUCAAGGUUUACAUGGAUUUAUCCAAUUAAGAGGAAGUCUGAUACCAGUUCUGUUUUUCUUCAAUUUCAAGCUAUGGCUGAAUUGAAGUUUAGUUUAAAAAUCAAAUCUGUUCAAACAGAUGGUGGCACUGAAUUCAAACCUUUAGUCCCAUAUUUUCAGAAACUAGGCAUUAAUCAUAGGCUUACUUGUCCUCAUACACAUCAUCAAAAUGGUAGUGUUGAGAGGAAGCAUCGCCAUAUUGUAGAAACUGGAUUGUCUCUUCUAGCUUGUGCUAACAUGCCUACUUCCUACUGGGACCAUGCUUUUCUUACUGCUACCUUCUUAAUCAAUAGACUACCUACUCCUGUUUUGGAUAACAUCAGUCCUUACCAUAAGCUUUUCAACACUCCUGCUGAUUAUUCUAUCCUUAGAGUGUUUGGAAGUGCAUGCUAUCCUCAUCUUAGGCCUUACAAUUCCUCUAAAUUGUCCUUUAGGUCUAAGGAGUGUGUGUUUCUUGGCUAUUCCUCCUCUCAUCAAGGUUAUAAGUGCCUAGCAGCUGAUGGUAGAAUUUACAUCUCUAAAGAUGUUAAAUUUAAUGAGUUCAAGUUUCCAUACACCACUUUAUUUUCUCCUCCUUGUCCUGAUUCCAAUAAUGCACAUAUUUCCUCUAUUAUUCCUGUUGUUACUUCUGUGCCUCAUGUGCAGCAACCAGUUCUUAGUCACCAAUCUUCCCAGUCUACUGGCAGCACAUCUCAAGUAUCUCCUGCACCACUUCAGUCUCCACAGCAGAGUCCAGCUUCUGCAGUCAACAGUUCUGCCACUCCAGCAGCUCCAGUUCCUGGUUCUGGUUCAGCAACCACUGCAUCUGCCCCUUCCAAUUCAGUCCCUGCCACUGAGUCUUCUCAGCCUCCACCAGUGGUUAAUGUGCAUCCCAUGCAAACCAGGGCAAAGUCUGGCAUUGUUAUGCCAAGGCUUUUUCCCACUUUGCUUCUAGCACAGGCAGAACCUACAACCACUAAGCAUGCUCUUAAAGACCCUAAGUGGUUGGCAGCUAUGAAGUCUGAAUAUGAAGCUCUCAUGACCAACAAUACUUGGACUUUGGUGCCUCUUCCCAAGGGAAGACAUCCUAUAGGGUGCAAGUGGGUGUUUAGAAUAAAGGAAAAUGCUGAUGGCUCAGUUAAUAGGUAUAAAGCCAGACUUGUGGCUAAGGGAUACCAUCAAGUGAAAGGUUUUGACUAUGCAGAAACUUUUUCUCCUGUAGUUAAACCUAUUACAAUUCGUUUGAUUCUUACCUUGGCUGUGUCUAAACAGUGGCAUAUUCACCAGCUUGAUGUGAAUAAUGCCUUUCUUCAUGGUGCCCUCCAAGAAGAAGUAUAUAUGCAGCAGCCUGCUGGUUUUCAAAGUUCAGACAAGACCCUAGUUUGCAAGCUGAACAAAGCUUUAUAUGGGCUCAAACAGGCUCCAAGAGCUUGGUUUGAUAGGUUGAAGACAGCUCUAAUCAAAUUUGGGUUCAGGGCAAGCUGUUGUGAUCCUUCCCUCUUUACUUUCCAUCAUAAGUCAAGUAUCAUCUAUAUUUUGGUCUAUGUAGAUGACAUCAUUAUCACAGGGAAUUUUCUGCCCUUUAUUCAAGAGAUUGUUCAAAAGCUUAAUUCUGAAUUUGCUUUAAAACAAUUGGGUCAGUUAGACUAUUUUCUUGGUGUUCAAGUCCAUCACUUGCAAGAUAGGUCUCUCCUACUUACUCAGACCAAAUACAUUGGUGAUCUUCUUGAAAGAGCAGACAUGGCUGAAGCUAAAGGCAUCUCUACACCUAUGGUCAGUGGUGCCAAACUAAGCAAGCAUGGAGCAGAUUAUUUUGCAGAUCCUACACUCUAUAGGUCCAUAGUUGGGGCCUUGCAAUAUGCCACUCUUACCAGACCUGAAAUAAGCUUUUCAGUCAACAAAGUGUGUCAAUUUCUCAGUCAGCCCUUGGAGGAACAUUGGAAGGCAGUUAAGAGGAUAUUGAGGUAUCUAAAGGGUACAAUUCAUCAUGGCUUGCAUAUCAAGCCUUGUUCUCUGCAUUCUCCAGUAGCUCUAGUGGCAUACUGUGAUGCUGAUUGGGGAUCUGAUGUUGAUGACAGGAGAUCCACCUCAGGGUCAUGUGUUUUCUUUGGUCCUAAUCUUGUCUCUUGGACCUCUAAGAAGCAAACUUUGGUAGCCAGGUCUAGUACUGAAGCAGAAUAUAGGAGUCUUGCUAAUACCUCAGCUGAGUUGCUGUGGAUUCAAUCAUUGUUACAAGAGCUGCAUGUUCCCUUCACAGUUCCCAGAAUUUUCUGCGAUAAUAUGGGAGCUGUUGCAUUAACUCAUAAUCCAGUAUUGCAUACCCGCACCAAACAUAUGGAACUUGACAUUUUCUUUGUUAGAGAGAAGGUGCUGAAUAAGUCUUUGUUUGUUCAUCAUGUUCCUUCCAUUGAUCAGCUUGCUGACCUCUUCACCAAAGCACUUUCUCCUACUCGUUUUGAAGACCUUAGAAGCAAACUUAAUGUGACUGAGAAACUAGUUUCUCACCCACCUUCAGUUUGAGGGGGUGUAUUAGGAUAUAUGUAGUCACAUGCUGACAUGGCAUUGCUGACAUGUCAAUCUGUAACAGAAUUAGUUAUUAGGUGUAACAGAAUCAGUUACACAGUAACUGAUUCUCUCUCUCUCUCUCUCUCUCUCUCUCUCUCUCUUAGUAACAGCUUGCUACGCAAGCUUCUCUGAUUCUAUAAAUAGCUAAAUGCUAUUCAUUGUAACUCAACUUUUCAGAAAUACAAUUCAGUUUACAAUUCAGUUAGAAUUUCAACAACCUUGUGUGUUUUCUUCCUCACCCACUGGUGUUUCGAUUGGAGAGGUGCCUUGCUUUUUGGAAGGUGGGUGUGUGCUGCGUGUGUGGGAUGGGGUAGCAGAAGCAUUUUGUUCUAGUGCAGGGUCAUACCAAGCUAUUUGAAAAGAACAAUUUAAAGGAGGUUUGUGUAAGCUGCCCACGCAUCUCAUGCUGCCCACCACCACUUCUGGGUCUCAAUCUCCUGGUUCUCAAUAUUUGAUAUGGAACUAUUUUGGUAACUGGAAAUCUAUUAUAAGUGGUCGUAAUAGUAAAAUCCAAUGAUUCUUAUAUUUUUUAAACUUGUUUGAAGAAGAUUCAUGUUAAUGUUAAUGAAGAAGAUAUGAAUUGGGGAUUUGGGUGAAUUGAGAUAAGCUUGGGGGGUGAAAUUAAUUUAGUUGAUUUAGUUAGGGUUAUAACAUAAUUAGCAAUAUGUUAAUUAAGUUAAAAAAUCUGACUUGUAAUAUUUUUUUAUUUUUUUUUAAUCCACGUCACCUCAUUAAACUCCGUAAGCAUGCCAUUUAAGCACUCGCUGGAGCUCCUCCGGCGAGGAUCCGCUCCAAAAACUUUUCAAAGAUGAUGACUAUUUACAAUAAUUUCUCAUUCCCCGAAUGAAUUUCAUCUUGCUGUAUAAUUGCUGCUCUGUCUCUCUAGUUUGUGUUCCUUGAUUUAGAUUGCAGAAAAAUCAUUCUAUUUCUUUGGCUUUGUAUGCUUAGGUAGGUAGUUAUCUGAAUGUCUAAUUCAAUGGAUGAGAUGUUGAUUCCGCCGAAUGCCAAGAGAGGAAGAAAUAGUGAGAGUGAGACUGAAAUUGAAGACAACAAAGACAGGCUCAGUGACUUGCCAGAUGGUGUUCUCCUUCACAUUUUGUCAUUUCUGAAAGCCAAAUAUGCAGUUCAAACAUGCAUAUUAUCCACAAGAUGGAAGGAUCUUUGGAAACGCCUUCCAGACCUUACUUUACUCUCCUCAGAUUUUUCAAGCUUAAUCUUUUUCACCAAAUUUGUGUCCACCAUUUUGACCCGUCGUGAUGGCUCAACUGCGCUGCACGGUCUAGAUUUUGAGCGUGUUGGUACCAUCCAGCCUCCCCUCAUCAAAAGAAUCGUAGACUACGCGGUUUCACGCAAUGUCCAACGAUUAGGAAUCUAUGUAGAAUGUGACAUGCGGCACCUGCUCCCUUGCAUUUUCACAUGCCAUACUUUAACAUCUCUUAAGCUCGUAGUUUACCCUAAAGGUUGCAGUAGUGGUAGCACUUUAUUGCCUGAAUCUCUGAAUUUGCCAGCACUAACCACCUUGCAUCUGGGGAAUUUCACCUUUUGCUCAAACGGCAACGACCACGCCGACCCAUUUUCUGAGUUUAACAGAUUGAAUAGUUUGAUCAAUGAUUAUUGUAAGCUAAAGGAUGCACGGACUCUGCAUAUCAAGCAUGACGCUCGUCAAUUUAACUCUGCGUCCUAGUGGGGACUACUCUAUUGAGCUAUCCACACCAUGUCUUUAUAGGUUCACUUGUACAGAUUUUCCUGAUAACUACCUCUGUGGGAGCGGUCUUUCUUCUGUUAAGGAAGUAAAUCUUUAUGCAGAUAGGUGCUUAUAUUUCCGUGAGCCUCCUCAGGUUCUACUUAGCUGGCUGCGAGGUCUUGUUAAUAUAAGAUCAUUGACGGUUUCUUCAAAUACUCUUCAGGUACCGUGGGAUGUUUUAAGGCUUUGUUUUUACUUUCUUACUAAAGAUGUUUUCUUACAUUCAAUUUUUUGUUAAAAUUCAAUUGUCUUGUAUUAUCUAGGCUAAAAAGCAUUUUUGGCCCCUGAUGUUUCAAGUUUGUGCAAGUUCUGCCCCUAUCUAUUUUUGUUGAUGUUUCUACCCCUCAUGUUUUCAAACAGUGCACCGUCUACCCCUCCGUCAGGGGUAGACGGUGCACUGUUUGAAAACAUGAGGGGUAAACAAUGCACUGUUUGAAAACAUGAGGGGUAGAAACAUCGACAAAAAUAGAGUAGGGGCAGAAUUUGCACAAAGUUGAAACAUCAGGGGCCAAAAGUGCUUUUUAGCCUAUUAUCUAAUUCUCCCUCACUGCUUAGGUUCUUUUAUUAGUUCCUGAUUUAUUGAAGAUUAAGCUCCCUUCAUUGGCUAACUUGAAGAGAUUGAAAAUAAAACGGGAACUCCUUCCAGAAUUGAUGAAAAGGAGAAUGAGAGAUGCGAUGUUAGAGAAAGCAGCUACUGAGACACGGAAAGAAGCUGCCAAGUUACGGAAAGAAGCUGCCAUAUUUUGGAAAACAAGACGGGAGCGAAAGACACCUUUACUUGAUGGAAUAGUGAACUUUUUGAUUCAAAACUCGCCGUCAGCAGAAGUUAAAAUCAUAGAUCGCUUAUGAUGAAAUUGACAAUCAACUUUUUGAAGAAGGUAAGAUGAUUGUAUACUGUCUCAGCUUGAGUUCACGCUGUUUAGCUAGGAUGGGGAAUGGAGUUAUGCAGCUGCUUUGUGUUAAAUGAAAGAACGUUAUUGGUGUUUUGUGUUAAAUCCUUGUCUUGACUCUUGAGGUUUAUGAAGGUUGAUGAGAACAAUGAAAGAACCAAUUCUUAGAUGUUGAAGAAAGAAGUAGAAUCUGCGUGCAUUUAAUUUGCUCAACAUGAAGUGCUAGAUGGCACAUAAAUACCUGGUUCAUGUUUGAUUUUAAGAAUGAUCAUGUGACUAGAUAAAAUUGAAGGUGAAGGAUAGGACAAUUUUUUUUUUUACUUAUUUAACCAUGCACUGCAUUCAACAACAAAAAAAUGUUCAACUUUUUCUUCCAUUUCUUGACAACUCUCUUCCUCAAGUCCACUUCUCAUGCUCAACCUUUAUCACCCUUCAUUUGUUUCCCUUUUUUUCCUAAAACUAUUUGUGUUAUGCAUCAACCACCAUCACAAUAGAUAGAAUCACAGGUUCUACUAUGACUCAGCUACUUGUGUUGUGUUGUUUUACAUGUGUAACAUGCAUUAAAUGCUCCCUGUUUGUAUAUAAGAGAAUUGAUACUCCAAUCUCCAUGAAAAACAUUUUCAUGGAAAUUAUUUAUUUUAGUAUCAUAUGAUUGAACUGCCAAACAUUUUAUUUCAACAUUUGUUAUUGUUGAAGAAAAACAAUAAAUACAACAAUGGAUCAAUUUUAUUUGAUUCUUUAUGUUAUUUUGAAGGAUAGGAUACAUAACUAUCUGGUAUUUGCUUUCCUUUAGUUGGCCUCUACAAAUGAGAGUCGUACAUUGUACUUUAAAACCAAAAAUUGAUUGCCCUUUAGGCAAGCAUAUACAGAUGAUAAAUAAAACUCAUUCAACAUCUAAUGUCAUUGUUUUAAUAAGAGAAAUGGAAGGAUCCAUCCUUGCUUCCAUUACUGAUAUGUCUCUUAUUCCAAAUAAAUCUUGAUGCUAUCAUAUGGAUGUGAGAACGGAACAGCAUGCCAGUUUUUAAUUUGAUCCUUCCUAUUAUUUGGGUCGUGAUCAAGUUCUGUAUCUGAGCUCUUUGAUGUAUCUUCCUUCAGACCUUUGUUAUUUACUUUCAGCAUUAAAAUUUCCUUUAAAGAAUUGGAUAGCUUAACCAAGUCCACAUGGUUGAUUAGUAUGCAAAGUUGUCCUCCCAUUUUGUUAACUUGAGCAUAGGUAUCAACUUCUGCCUCUAGCAUUAUCUGCAUCACUUUCCGAUCCCUUCUAAAGGUUCUCUUCACAAGCAUUAUCUUCACAUUGCAUGUUUCAAGGCUUUAUUUUUGAGAUGUUGCUUUCAUUCCAUGUUUUUGUCAAAAAUCAAUUUGACUUGCAUUAUAUCGAUCCUAACUCAUCCUCAUCCCUUAUUGCUUAGGUUCUCUUCUUAACUCCUCAUUUAUCGAAGCUUAAGGUUCCUAUAUUGGAUACCUUGUUGAAGUCAUUAAAAGUAUAUCAGAAACCACUAAUAUAUGGAUUUUUUUUAUGAUAAUUAGAGAAGUCAAGUUACAGAAAGUAUCUGCCUGGUCACGGAAAGCUGCUGCUCCCAAGUUACGAGAGCGAGUAAGGAAGAAUCAUCUUCAUCUAAGUCUGAUGGAGUAGUUGAGUUUUUGCUUCAAAGGUGCUCAGGAUGAUAUAUGCAUUCAACUUUUAUGGAUAGUUGCUUAUAAUUACUGUAGUUUUAAUCUUCCUUGUUCAUUUCUGUUUUCCUUCUUUUUAGUUGUAUCCUAUUAUCCUUAUGAGUCUUUCGGUAGAGAAAGGAAUUGGACAUGCUCACUUACUUGGUUGUAUCUGAUCUCACUUCUAGUCGACGCUCUAUAGUCUAUAGCAAGGAUGGGGGAAAUGCAGUUUCUUGUAUCAAAUGAAAGAAAGUUAUUGGUGGUUUGUGGAAAGAUCUUUAUUAAAUGGUUAGAAUUUUGGAUUAUAUAUAAUAAAAUACUAAACCACCUCUUUUAUCAAGGGUUAAAUAUAUUUUCAGUCUCUUAUAAUACCCUCUCCUCAAAAGGAAAUUGAUGCUUAACACUCAUUAAUAUUUUAACACUCGCAUCUAAAAUGGUCUCUUAUAGCUUUUCACCCUUGACAAAAUAUCUUUGUUUUUUAAAAGUUCAUCUGAUGUCAUAAUACUUAUUUGUCUAUUAUUUUUAUCAAAUAACAAUUUUCACGUGUAUUUUAUCACACAUAAUCAUUCCAAGACCACCCAUAUGCAAUUUCAUUAAUCAUACAAAUUCUAUUAACAUCAGGUUUGGUUCCUAUUUGUGUUCCAUCGAUUCUAUUUCAUUUCCUUUCUAGAGUGAAGAAUCAUAAUUGUGAGUUGGAGAAGGUAGAAGAGACUAGGCAGAGCUUGUGUUCGUGAGCUGGAAAAGAUUGAGAGCUUCGAUCACUUUGGCUGAGGAUAAGUCGAUAUGAUAUGAAGGUGUCUUCAGAGGGGAUGAAUAAGGCUCGGUUGUCAUUAUCUUCUACCCCGUUUGUUAAUUUGUUAUAUGAAUGCACAAAAGAGGAAAUAUUGUUCACAUCCAAAAGUGCAAUGAACCUAGAGAACUGAUUUUGGUGGUGCCCCAACCGGAAGGUUAAAAUCCUAAAUUUUAUUUUGAUACGUUAAUAUGAAUUUUCUAUUAGAUUGUAUACCUAUUUCCCUUCAUCCUGGUUUUGUUUUUGAAUUCUCAGGAAAAUGAGAGGUGUUGUAAUUAUUUUUUAUGGAAUGACGAACAUGUCUCUAAGCAAUAUGUGGAUGAAGAAGAUCACCAUGGUGAAAUGAUGGCAGAUCUCAAGAAGGAAAAUUUUCGUAGUGAUCUUCAUCCUCCUUCACAUCGUUGGUCUUCGCUCUCCCUUCCAGCGAUUGUCUUUGUCCUCUCUUUCUCUUUAUCGCGGUGGACUUUCUUCCUUCACUUUGUCAUGUUCUUCUACGAUAAGAGGGAACGAGAUAUGGUAAUUUUUAGAAGAAUGCUAGCAACACUCUGUUUCAAAUACUUUCUUGUUGAUUAGGUGAAAUUCUGUGAGAUCCCUAAAAAGAUGAGUCCAACUUCCAAUUUUAUGUGACACACAUGAAUUUCAAUCAUUCUAUGAAAGAGUGUAAAAAAAAUGUUGUUAACAAUUUGGUAGAAGGCUUAUUCUGACGAGCUUAUAGAUAUUGUGUCUUUAUGGAUAUUAGACCUUAUGCAGUUUAUCUUUUUAUAUUUUAUAGUUUUAUUAAUCUAGCUUUAGUUUUCAUACUCUUAUUAAAUGUCAAGCUUCUAGUAUAUUCUCUCUAUUAGGAUGAUGUCACUUGUUGGUCAUCUAGAGAAUUAAGCUUUAGCUAUAAAAUGUUUCUUUUGCUAUUGAAAUGGAUAACAAGAAAAUUGACAUAGUUUUAUUUUACUUUCUUUUCUUCAUUUUCUUUUAAUUUUCUCUCUUUGAUUGCUUGGUAGAGUUUAUCUCUACCACACUUCUCUUUUAACAAUCAAACGGUGUUGGGCCGGGCGGGUCGUUAUAAGUCCACUGACCCGCCCGGUAAGAUCAACAGGAAGGUGAUUAGGACAUGGACCCCAGCUUGAGGAUGUGGGCCCGAGUUGUUUUGUCUUGUUAUAUUGUACACAUGUAUUUAUCUUAUUCAACAUAGGGAUUUGGGCCCUGCAUGUAAGGCCCAAAUCCAUGAACAUUCUAGAUAAGGAUCAUUCCUACUAUAAAAAGGAUGUCCUCACCUUGUACUAGGGACCUUUUUCAUCAUUUAUGAGAUUAUUUCCUUAUUUACGUAUUACUUACUUCUUUUAGCUCUGCUAGGGUUUUUCAAGGGUACUUUAUUACCAUUGUCAUACCUUAGACAGGAACAUUGGCGCCGUCUGUGGCUCUAACUCAGUGAUUAUUCUUCCGCUGACGUGAGAGGCAUAUUUUUGGUUAUGGAGACACGUUCUUGUGGUGGGCGAGUUCCCCGUCGUCGUGGUGGAGGUCGUCUUACGGGAGUCAGGAGCCAGGCCCCUGUAGGACAACCUGAGUUGGAAGGAGAAGCUUCUUCAGAUGAAGCCUCGGUGGCGGUACGAUCUCAUGCUACCACGGUUCCAGAUGUCCCGGCACGGCCAGAUGCGGCUGUUGGAUCGGGACUGGAUCUUAAAGCUAAGCUUCCCACCCCGGAAGCGGAGGCUUUGGGAGAUCAGCAGGCCGACACACCUGUGCGAGCACCGGACAAUGUGGUAGGAGCCUCAUCUGCGGAGCUCAGGCAGGUGUUGGACACUAUCCAGGCGGUUCAACGUCAAAAUGAGCAUUUACAGGCUCAGGUGGAGUACCUUAAUCAAAUGCGUGACUUAAGGCGUGAGCAACGUGUGGACGCUGAGGAUGUGGUGGAUUUUCAGCCCUUUGCGCCCAUAGUCGCCGCAGUUGAGAUUCCAGAGCAUCUGCAAACUCUGACUUUGGACAUGUAUGAGGGGGAUACCGACCCAAUUGAUCAUUUGCGGUAUUUUAAUACUAAAAUGGUCAUUGGAGGGGCGACCGAUGCUGUGAAGUGCAGAUUGUUGCCUUCAACGUUUAAGGGCGUGGCCAUGACUUGGUUUAUUAAGCAACCUCCAUAUUCCAUCUCCAACUUCACUGAUUUGUCAACUAAGUUUCUAACACAAUUCUCGGCCAAUCAAGCACAAAAGGCGACCCCAGCUGAUCUGUUCAAUAUUCGACAGCAUUCGGGCGAGCGUAUCAAAACUUACAUGUCCCGAUUUAGUAGAGUGUCAGUGCAAUUAGAGGACGCCAGUCCGGAUGUGUGUGUGGCGGCCUUUAAAAAUGGACUCAGAUGCGGCUCAUUGAACAAAGAUUUAACUAGGCGGCCUGCCAAGGAUAUGAUGGAUUUGCAGGCACGGGUACAAGAGUUUAUCUUGGUUGAACAGGAUGAGCAAACUAAAAAAGAUAGGGACGACUGGCGAGCUCAACCAGAUGUCUCAUCUGAAAAGGGCCGCGCUCCUAAAGAUCAGCGACCCGCUCAGACACCGCGCCAGCCAAGGCCAGCGCCGUAUCCAGCAGGGCGACAGGGGCCACAGAGUAACACUUGGCAUCGGAACAGUCAACCCGCCAUAUCCCAAGGGGGACAUGCUCCCGCCCAGGGUCAUCAAACCAAAUUAAACACUCCUCUCAGCACAAUACUGCGAGUGGUAGGGCAAACUAAUGUGGUUCAGUACCCAAGGCCACCUAGGCGACCCCCUGCAAACGUAGACACAACAAAGUGGUGUGAAAUCCAUAAAGCCAUGGGACACAAUACAGAUAAUUGCUGGACUUUGCGCAAGGAAAUUGAACGACUGAUCAAGGCGGGGCAUUUGUCCAAUUUUAUCUCAGGAGACAAUACACAGCUUGAUGCAGUCAAGAACAAGGGCGGUGAUUCCGCAAAGGGAAAGGAGGUCGUUGAGGAGUUAGGGGUACCUGCCGGGUCUUGCUUGUCAAUCGCAGGGGGAUUUGGCGGCGGGCGCAUAUCUAGCAAGGGAAGGAAAAGAUUUGUGGAGGCAGUAAACUCGGCUCACCACGCCUAUGAGGGGGAAUGUUGGCUGAACCAUACUCCAAUUACUUUUUCACCAAAAGAUUAGGAUCAUGUGAUACCGCAUGACAACUAUCUCAUAGUGGUGACUCUGCGCGUAAACAACUAUGUUACCAAGAAAGUUUUUCUCGACCAAGGCAGUUCUGCUGACAUCAUAUAUGGCGAUGCAUUUGAAAGAUUGGGUUUAAAGGAGUCGGAUUUAAAACCAUAUAUGGGGUGUCUGGUUGGAUUCACCAGCGACCGGGCCAAGGUACGAGGUUACGUGGAGUUGGACACUACUUUUGGUGAGGGUGAAUACGUGAAGAAAUUUCAAGUAAAGUAUUGGUUCUCCCAUGUAAGGCGACGUAUAAUGUGCUUCUAGGGCGUGAUACUUUGAACAAAAUAUGUGCAAUAAUUUCAACCGCCCAUUUGACAGUAAAGUAUCCGGCUUGCAAUGGAAAGGUGGGAAUCUUAAGGGUGGAUCAAGAAGUCGCCCGAGCAUGUUAUGCACAAAGUCUGGAACUUUAUGGCAAGAAGGCAGCCAAGGAACACAUCGCGUCACGGAGAUUUUUCCACAUGAGAAUUUCAAUUUGGAUCCUCAGGAUGAUUCGGAAGAGUUGAGACCUCAGCCGGCGGAAGAAACCAAAUCUGUUCACUUAUCUGGGCGUGCUUUGAAAAUUGGAAGUACCUUAUCAAAGGAUCAAGAGGACCGGUUGGUUGAGUUACUCAAAAAUAAUUUGGAUUUAUUCGCAUGGACAAUUAAGGAUGUUCCAGGCAUUGAUCCCAACGUUAUAUCUCAUCAUUUGUCAAUUCAGCCAGGAGCAAAACCUGUUGUCCAAGCUCGUAGGCGGAUGGGCGAGGAAAAGGACAAGGCAGUACAAAUAGAAACUCAAAAUUUGCUCGACGGAAAGUUCAUUAGAGAAGUCCAAUAUCCAACAUGGUUGGCAAAUGUUGUUAUGGUGCGCAAGGCUAAUGGUAAAUGGAGAAUGUGUACAGAUUACACAAGUCUAAACAAAGUUUGUCCAAAGGAUUCUUAUCGGCUCUCAAAUGUGGACAAGUUGGUAGAUGGGGCGUCCGGUAAUGAACUGCUCAGUUUAAUGGAUGCAUAUUCCAGAUACAAUCAAAUAAUGAUGCAUCGCCCUGAUGAGGAGAAAACGGCGUUCAUGACAAGUCAGGCGAACUAUUGCUACAGGACGAUGCCCUUUGGUUUGAAGAAUGCGGGGGCGACCUAUCAGCGGUUGAUGGACAAGGUUUUUGUAAAUCAAGUAGGAAGAAACAUGGAGGUAUAUGUGGAUGACAUGAUUGUUAAGACUGUCAAAGGGGGCGCCCAUCAUGAAGACUUGGCGGAGGUAUUUGCACAGAUCCGGAAGUACAAUAUGCGAUUGAAUCCAGAAAAAUGCUCCUUUGGAAUUUUAGGUGGCAAGUUUCUAGGAUUCAUGGUCACAUCAAGGGGGAUCGAGGUUAAUCCCAACAAAUGCAAAGCUAUAGUGAACAUGAAGAGCCCAUCCAAUAUUCGUGAAGUUCAGAGAUUAACAGGACGGUUGGCGGCCUUAUCUCGCUUUUUGCCAAAAGCAGGUGACAGGGCAGCGCCAUUCUUUGCGUGUUUGAAAAAGAAUACAACUUUUCAGUGGACAGCGGCGUGUGAGGAGGCCUUCCAGCAGCUUAAGGAGUUAUUAGCGUCACCUCCUAUGCUAGCUAAGCCAACGCCCGGGAUUCCUUUAAUUCUCUACUUGGCGGUCACCGAGGCGGCGGUUAGCACGGUAUUGCUUCAAGAAGAAAACAGGCAGUUUAAAAUCAUAUACUUUGUUAGUCACACGCUGCAAGGGGAGGAAGCGCGUUACCAAAAAAUAGAAAAGGCGGCUCUGGCAAUACUAAAGACCGCCAGGCAUCUUCGGUCAUACUUUCAGAGUUUUCAGAUAAAAGUUAAAACAGAUAUUCCCUUGCGGCAAGUUUUGCAAAAGCCUUAUUUGUCAGGACGACUAGUGAGUUGGUCGGUCGAGCUGUCGGAAUAUGACAUUAGCUAUGAACCAAGAGGACAAGUCACGAUCCAGAGUCUGAUUGACUUUGUAGCGGAGUUAACACCCACAGAGGGUGAUAAAGAAAAUGCAGAAUGGGUACUUUCGGUGGAUGGCUCGUCCAAUGAAUCAGGAAGUGGUGCAGGCGUGUCGAUCGAAAGUCCGGACAAAAUGCUGAUUGAACAAUCGCUCAAGUUUGGAUUCAGGGCGAGCAACAAUCAGUCCGAGUAUGAAGCAUUAAUAGCCGGUUUAAGACUCGCCAUUGAAUUGGGAGUGCAAAAACUGUAUAUAAAGGACGACUCUCAAUUGGUAGUAAAGCAAGUGCGUGGUGAAUACCAAGUGAAGGAUCCACAAUUGUCCAAAUACCUUGAAAUUGUUCAAAGGCUUAUGCAGGCGAUUGGACACGUAAGGAUCGAGCACAUACCAAGAAGUCAAAACGAGCGUGCUGAUGCAUUGGCUAAACUAGCCAGCACUGGGCGAAUCGGAAACUACCAAACCGUAAUACAAGAGGUUUUGCCCCAUCCAAGUACAGACAUGGUAGAGUUCAAAGUGGCGAAGGCUAUAGGAAAUGGAGAACCAUCUUGGAUGGAUCCAAUCAUUGAAUUUUUAAGUCAGCAACCGCAGGAUGAAAGCAAAAACACAAAGGAAAGAAGGAGGGAGGCUAGUUUUUAUACUUUGGUGGGUGGACAGCUGUAUAGGCGGGGGAUUAUGUCUCCAAUGCUUAAAUGUGUGGAUACCGCCAAAAUCUCAUGAAAUAAUGGCGGAGGUUCAUGAGGGAGUAUGCUCAAGCCACAUUGGGGGGCGGUCUUUGGCCGUUAAAGUCCUUAGGGCGGGAUUCUAUUGGCCAACCGUCAAGAAAGAUUGCAUGGAGUAUGUGAAAAAAUGUUCAAAAUGUCAAGUUUUUGCCGAUAUACACAGGGCACCACCAGAGCAACUCACAACAAUGACCGCCCCAUGGCCCUUCGCCAUGUGGGGAACGGACAUUUUGGGACCCUUUCCAAAAGCAAAGGGUCAAUUGAAGUUUAUUGUGGUGGCAGUGGACUAUUUCACCAAGUGGAUAGAAGCUGAGGCACUCGGCACAAUUACUGCAGCCAAGGUACGGAAUUUCUUGUGGAGGCGUGUUGUGUGCCGUUUUGGAGUUCCAAUGGCACUGUUUAUGGAUAAUGGCACUCAAUUUACCAGCACAUUAACAAGGGACUUCUGUGCUGACCUUGGGAUUGACAUGCGAUUCACUUCAGUGGAACAUCCUCAAACGAAUGGUCAAGCUGAGGCGGCAAACAAGGUCAUAUUAAAUGGGUUGAAGAAGAAGCUUNNNNNNNNNNNNNNNNNNNNNNNNNNNNNNNNNNNNNNNNNNNNNNNNNNNNNNNNNNNNNNNNNNNNNNNNNNNNNNNNNNNNNNNNNNNNNNNNNNNNNNNNNNNNNNNNNNNNNNNNNNNNNNNNNNNNNNNNNNNNNNNNNNNNNNNNNNNNNNNNNNNNNNNNNNNNNNNNNNNNNNNNNNNNNNNNNNNNNNNNNNNNNNNNNNNNNNNNNNNNNNNNNNNNNNNNNNNNNNNNNNNNNNNNNNNNNNNNNNNNNNNNNNNNNNNNNNNNNNNNNNNNNNNNNNNNNNNNNNNNNNNNNNNNNNNNNNNNNNNNNNNNNNNNNNNNNNNNNNNNNNNNNNNNNNNNNNNNNNNNNNNNNNNNNNNNNNNNNNNNNNNNNNNNNNNNNNNNNNNNNNNNNNNNNNNNNNNNNNNNNNNNNNNNNNNNNNNNNNNNNNNNNNNNNNNNNNNNNNNNNNNNNNNNNNNNNNNNNNNNNNNNNNNNNNNNNNNNNNNNNNNNNNNNNNNNNNNNNNNNNNNNNNNNNNNNNNNNNNNNNNNNNNNNNNNNNNNNNNNNNNNNNNNNNNNNNNNNNNNNNNNNNNNNNNNNNNNNNNNNNNNNNNNNNNNNNNNNNNNNNNNNNNNNNNNNNNNNNNNNNNNNNNNNNNNNNNNNNNNNNNNNNNNNNNNNNNNNNNNNNNNNNNNNNNNNNNNNNNNNNNNNNNNNNNNNNNNNNNNNNNNNNNNNNNNNNNNNNNNNNNNNNNNNNNNNNNNNNNNNNNNNNNNNNNNNNNNNNNNNNNNNNNNNNNNNNNNNNNNNNNNNNNNNNNNNNNNNNNNNNNNNNNNNNNNNNNNNNNNNNNNNNNNNNNNNNNNNNNNNNNNNNNNNNNNNNNNNNNNNNNNNNNNNNNNNNNNNNNNNNNNNNNNNNNNNNNNNNNNNNNNNNNNNNNNNNNNNNNNNNNNNNNNNNNNNNNNNNNNNNNNNNNNNNNNNNNNNNNNNNNNNNNNNNNNNNNNNNNNNUUUGCUUGGGAGGAAGAGUUACCUGAUAAUCUUGGAGAAUCUGCAGGUGAGGGCUGCUCUCUGAAUUACUAGAUAAUGUUUUAGGUGUCGACGAAUUCGACUUGAUUUAUGUGUUAUGCACUUAAUUGCUAAAUGUCUGAAAUGAUUUCUGAGGCUUCGGCCGAGCUUGUUGAUUUCAUGAUGCCUUGAUAUUGUGUGCUAAAUGAUUCGCAUGUUAUGUGCUAAAUGAUUAAUCUAGGAUGUGUUGGAAUAUGCUGUUUAUGCUUAUUGGAUUGCGCUUAUUUAACUAUAUUAUUUCACAUAUAUCUGUGGUACUGAGGAGUGAGAAAUACGGGCAAGUCAUGCCGAUUUUAUUUUGAGAGUUUGAGAAAGUUUGACGGGACGAACGGAGUUCGGGCCUUGUUAUGGUUAUGAUGGAUCGAGACAUUCUCGGGGAGUUAAUUGGGAUUUUGGUGGAUGUUGAAGACUCAUAAGAUUUGCGAUAAGACUAAAAGGAUAUUAUUUUAUAAGGAAAAUUCAUAAGACAUUAAACAACCUCUAAACCUUUAAAUAAUGAUAACAAUCUCGAGUGCAAGUUGAGGAUUGAAUCUUAGUUGUGGAAAGCGAGAAGUGUCGUCGGAUCCAAGGGUUGAGAAAGAUUGUGAGUUCUGAGUAUGUUGAUACUCAUUCGCUCUGGGAGCAGUUUGUUUAGCCAUCCAAGGGAUGAGCCGAGAAGCUUCACUGAGGCGUGAGACCUUGUGAAUGCGUGAUACUCCACUGAGGCGUGAGACCUUGUGGAAAGCAUGGACCUUCACUGAGGCGUGAGACCUCGUGAACAUCAUGAAGCUUCACUGAGGCGUGAGACCUUGUGAAUGCGGGAUACUCCACUGAGGCGUGAGACCUUGUGGAAAGCAUGGAACUCCACUGAGGCGUGAGACCUUGUGAGAGCAUGAAACUUCACUGAAGCGUGAGACUUCGUGAGAGCAUUGAUGACCCGAAGAGUCAUCGUGAGUGGUUGCACUCAUUUUAUGAUUAUUGUAUUUUGUCGCAGAAUCGACUUUACCUUAGGGUAAGCUUUUAGAAACUUUAAUUUACCUAGAACACGUGGCGACGUGUCGAGUGAGAUCGGAGACGUUGGUUGACUAAUCAUCCUGCAUUCAUGCAACAUUAAUGGGGUAUUAACACAGGACGUACUCUGGACCUCGUCGGAUUCCAAAAUGGUCAUAAGACCCGGAUUUCCGUGAAAGAGCGUUUGUAAACGUCUCUUGUAGCAGACCGAAAUGGCAGACCUACGGGUUACGGCUGAUCUGACUACCUUUGUGUGGUGUAAGAGGCACGCGGGCCGAAAUGGUCCCACCGUGGCUGGUGCUAGGGCUGAUCCGUUGAUGUCCAUCCGUUCCGGAUUGCAUAUUGGUUGACUGGGUUAACCUGCAUAUCAUUUCAUGCAACAUGCAUACUGACAUAGUUGAUGAGUGUGUUUGAUACUUGUUAGUUCUACUUGAUGCAUGUUAACUGUGAUUUACAGUCGUUAUAUUCUUUGUGGAAAUAUGCAACCCUAGGAUGUUAUCCCUAGUUAUAAGCCUAAGUGGCUAUUAUCUUAUUUAUAUUUAUUGGUGCUAUUAUUUACAUAAUUCUUUGGAGUUGACCCUCGCGUCUUCUGUGUGUGCUUUGGCGAACAAACGCCCUUUGUCAGAUGUCUUUGGCGGGCUGAUUCAUGAUGGUUCAUCCUUCGGGAGGAACUAGGGUUGAGAUGCGGGAACUGGAGCGUAUCGCGGUAGCGAGAGGAGGACGGAUGGUGUACAUAGACUAGGUCGUUCUGGAUUCAGAUUCGGGCGACGAUCAUGCUAGCAUGUAGGUUUUAGUGCUGGUGUGAGCUCCUCGAGAUGGGAUUAGUGUAGGAGUAAAGUCUUAGCUCUGAACAUCAUUUGUUUUCUUUGGGGACAGGUAGUUUCCCACCUAUAGCUUUUGUGUGGUCUUUACGAGAAUCACAAAGAGUUGUUGGACUCUAGAGUCUUGCUUCAGCCGAUGGCCCACUUAUUCUCAGUUUGGAGAUGGGUGCGGCACUUGACCUUCUUGUGAUUGACCCUUGCCUUGGCGUACCUUUCUUUCGUCACUGAGUUACUCNNNNNNNNNNNNNNNNNNNNNNNNNNNNNNNNNNNNNNNNNNNNNNNNNNNNNNNNNNNNNNNNNNNNNNNNNNNNNNNNNNNNNNNNNNNNNNNNNNNNGUAGAGUAAGUCUUAGCUCUGACAUCAUUGUUUUCUUGGGACAGGGAGUUUCCCACCUAAGCCUUUUGGGUGGUUCUUACGAGAAUCACAGAGAGUUGGUUGGACUUAGGAGGUCUUGCUUCAGGCCGAUGGGCCAGCUUUAUUCUCAGUUUUGAGGGAUGGUGUUGCGGACACUUGACCUUUCUUGUGGAUUGACCUUUGCCUUCGGGCGUUACACUUUUCUUUCCGUCACUGGAGGUUUACUCGUGACGAGGUUACUACUACAGCGGGGGCUGUUUAUAUAUUGUAUAUUAGUUCUGAUUAAUGUUAUUGGUGGGUUUUAUUUAAUUCAGUCUUGUCUUAGUUAUUAUCGAAAAAAAAAAAUAUUCACGUUUUUCCGCAUUAAGUUUAUUUUGGUUACUAAAGUGACGCCACCGAAAUCGGGGUGUUACAGGGACCAUCCGUGUAAUUAAAUUAGGUGGGGGACUAAAAUCGUGGAAUUGGUAAACGUUAGGGACCAAAGUUGCAAUUAAGCCAAACAAAUAUUAGAUAGGGUUUCCUCCUUUUAAACCGGUUUGGCUCAUACGGUUUCCUCGUUACAUGGGUGAGAAUCGAUAGACCGCUUGUUAAAUGGUCUUAGAGGGUUGUUUUACCCAAAUGCAACUACCUAUGCCUUGUAAUGUAUAGUGGAAAAGCUUUUAAAUAUGAGGUGUUUUGGGAAGAAAAUUGUGAAUGAAGUCAAGUCGUUCAAGAAGAUUGGGAGCUAGAGCAGCUAGAAGAGGACUCAUGGGCCUCAGUUAUGAAAGGGACAAAGAAAUGUGCUAACUCUCUGCAAAAUUGGCAUAAAAGGAAGUUUACUAGUACAACUCUAAAGAUCUAGCAACUUAAGAGGAAGUUGACACAGGUCUAGAGUGUGGACCAUGGUGAUGUAAAUUGGGAGGAAGUGCACAACACUUGAGCUAGGAUAAGGGAGUUGUGGAGGAAAGAUCACGAGUUAAAUGAGCUUAGAGGAUAAGAAUGCCAAAAUCUUUCAUGCUUCUGUUGUUCAGAAGGGAGAUGAAUAGAAUUCACUGAUUGAAGGUAGAUAAUUAAUGGGGAUUGGAUGGAAGGGCAAAGUAGAAUCUACAAGGAGGCCCUGACUUAUUUCCAGAUUAUUUACACUUCAGAAAGAGUACACCACCUGCAGGAUUGUAUGAAUCAAGUCCUUACUGUUGUCCCUUCGGAGCUUAAAUAGAGUUUGGAGGAACUUACUUGCUUUUUCAAGUGUGUGUAACAGUCCUUUUGUUGACUGGUCAAAUAAUUUAUGAACGAUGUGUUCUUCAGACUAGACUUAUGUUCCUCAGACGAUAGGGAAUAUAGAUGUUGAGUUCCCAGGAAGUUCAAAACAUAAGAUCUUUAGAGAAGUUUGUGCAUUCCAUGAUAAGGUCAUUAAGAACGUUGCUAUUACUCAAAAUAUGAUAUUAGAAAUUUAUGAAUCUAACAUUAGAACUUUAUAGUCUUCCAUUUCAAGCCAUCCAUAAUUUGAAUCUUAAAAUCUAGACUAGUAAAGGAGAAGUCUGGUGGAAGCUUGCCCGUGAGAACCCAUGCCCUCUUCUUAGAAAAAGGAGCCUCAACCCGUGAAGUUUUACUGUCACCUAAAGAGAGGUUAUGGGAAUCACAACCUUGUUUCCCACCUUUCCUGCUAGAAAACUCCCCUAGGUCACCAUAUGAAUCCAUUCCCUCUUUCAAUUUGUCACUAUCAUCUACCUCAGCCUCGACCUUAGCCUGCAAACUCGCGUCCUUACCAAUUCCUCCCUCGAUAUCCGCCAUCAUUCUUGGCUUGUUCACCUCGUCUUCGAAGCUCCCCUCAACAACACCAGAGGGCAUAUCUUGUUGUUUUCCCCACCGUGCCCCACCUUGCCAAGGCAUGGUGUCAAGAAACCUAUCACCAUCCGCGCGCAGCCAAUGGCCAUAAGGGAACAACACUGAUCCAUUGACAACCUCGCAAUGACGCAUAAAGUUGUUGAGAAGGCCACAACGAUAGCAAAAUUUGAAGAGUUUUUUGUACUUGAAGAUCACUUUUAACGAUUCUCUAGUGGUAGCUGCCAUCAUCUAGCCCCGGCGCAAGGGAAGGUCCACCCUCACCCAUGCUCUAAUACGAAAGCAACUAUUGUAUCUUCUCUCCUCCAACUUAUCCCAACCUAGAAAGCCCGCAAAAUAAUCACCAAGGGACUUCGCAGUGGCCUUCAUGCAUCCUGUCCUCCUCAUCUGUGAAUCUGAAUCCAUAAGGGCACCUUUAUCAAUGCAACUAUAGCGGGAUCACCCCGAGCAUCAUAAGCAUUCAAAGCAAUCAUGUGUCUAUACACAUAUAAACAUAAAAGAGCUUGUGGCCUAGUGGCAUAUAAAGCUUUUUGGAACCACAAAGUCCAAGGUUCAAAUCAUAGUGGAGAUAAAAUGUAUUUUCAAAAAUAUUUGUUCUUUAACUGUUGAACGGCCGGUUUUGACCGGUUUUCCUAAUUCUUGACCGGUACACCGGUCCAAUGUCCGGUUCACCGGUCUAAUGUCCGGUUCGAUAAUUUCCCGGUUCAAUGACCUAACCUAACCGACCAACAGCACGGUGCCCGAUUGAACCGAUUUGACCGGCUGGUUCAGUCCGGUUUUCAGAACACUGCCAGCAAGAAUGAUCUCUGGAUCCUCCAUAUUUGGUUCCAUUGAAGGAAAAACAAGUGCAAGUUAUGCAGCAGAAAUAGUAACUAGGAUUACGUACACCACCACGCACGUGCAACUCAUACUACAAUUAGGAAACACUCCUAUCACAUGCAGGAAAGAGACAACCAAUUAGGACGAUCCCAAGAAGACACAGUGAAAACAUCACAUAGAAGUCAAGGUACUAUCGCCGCAAACCAAAACCCUAGGACGAUCUCAAGAAGGAAACACUCCUAUCACAUGCAGGAAAGAGACAACCAAUUAGGACGAUCCCAAGAAGACACGGGGAAAACAUCACACAGAAGUCAAGGUACUAUCGCCGCAAACCAAAACCCUAGGAAAGCGUAGGGAAACAUAUUAGUUUAAUGAUUAAUAAAGCGAAAAUUCUCUUCCUAACUCAUUCAAAUAUUGCAGCGAGGUUGUUAGAAGAUAAUGAGGUUUCAAUCAAAUACGAUGUCGAGAUGAAAUAGUUAUUGAUGAGAUUUAACUGGUUUUAGUUUCUUACUACAUCCCGUUUUUUAAAAGUGACUUAUAUUUUUGAAAUUUUUUUUGCAAAAAUGUAAUGGGAUAAAAAGAGUAAUAUAACUCCACUUUAUUAGUGUCUACCCUAUAAUUUUGACUAAGCCAUUUAUUGUCGGGAAUAAAAAUAGGUGGAUUAAUUAUUUAGUAGUGAUUGAUUUCGCAACCAAAAUGGCUAAUCAUGAUAGUUUCGUACAUGUGUGGGGUAGAUACAUAUAUAGUACCGUGAUACUGAUGCAUAGCCACUAUGUCACAUUUGAUUCGUGUUAAGAAAAAAAUACAAGCAUGCAAAAACAUGAUAUAAAUAGUAAUUGAGUCUUACUAAGUCACUUUUUAUUUUGUUAUUUGACAGCUUAAUAUAACAAUGUCUAGCAUAUAUUCGGGGCGUAUUCAGGAUUUUCUUGUUGGGGGCGAAAUAUAAGACUAAAAAAAUCUUCAUUGAAAGUUAUAUAAACUUUUUUUUUUUAGGUAGAAAGUUAUAUAAACUUUAAAUAGUAAAAAAAUAUUUAAAUACAACUCUUCGUUCUUUUAUAGUACCAACAAAUAAAUUUCUGAGAAGAUCAUCUUCAAUUUUGUUCCGAAGCCGAGUCUUAACAACUUUCAUUACAGAAAAAGAUCGCUCUGUAGAUGCUGUUAAAAAAUGGAGUGUCAAAACAAGACGUAUCAAUCUAUUAACAAGUGGAAACAUUGUUGCUUUUCGUGUUUCAACUAACUUCUGAUAAAACUCGAAUAAACUAGAAAUUUUUCCUAAAUUAGGAUCUCGGGAAACAUGUGAAUGAUAAUAUCUCAGUUGAAACGGCAAAUUCCUUCUUUCUAGCUUAAAAAAAUACCUAUAGUCGGUGACCAUUUCAAAAUUCUUGGGGGGGCGAUGACCCCUGUCUGCCCCUCUCAAGAUACGACCCUGCAUAUACUAUUAUUAUCUUUGAUAAAAUGCUCAAAGAAAUACUGGACGAAAAGGUAGCAUAAAUAAAGUCAUGAUGAUAUGAAUAAAUUAAAGCUAUAACCUAAAUAAUAUUAUUAUCUUUGAUCUGCCCACCCCAAUCUUAUCAUCACAAUUCACAAUAUAAGUAGCUACUUUUCGGGUUGCGACAAAAGGAUUGCAAUUUUGAUAACGCAGCUUCGCAAGUUGGAUGUAUUUUUCUAACAGAUAAAAUGGGUUCAACAUUGAAUUAUAGCCAUAAACCUAAUUUUUGCUCAGCAGGCAUGAUUUUAUAUAGUUUUCGUCUAUAACAUCACUACAUGGUGAUGGUAUAUAAAACACAAUCUUAGUGCCAUGUAUCUAUCCUUCAUUGCCCACGCAAGCAGGUUAAUUAGUUAAUCCUGUCGGUGUGCCUGAGAAGUGUUGCAUAAUUUAUAAUUGGGAUUUUUAAAAAAGACCUAUGGAUUGGGCGGGACAUAAAGACCUCCAUACCCGCCCAAAACAAGCAGUCAGCCGGACGAAGGAAGACAUGGCGGGAACUGGCGGAAUACCGAGGAUUCUCGCCCUUCCCCCUUUAAGUGGACCCGCAAGCCAGCUGGAAGAUUCUUUUGGAUUUGUCUUAUGUGCAUAGGGAUUUGGGCCCUGGUUGUCAGACCCAAAUGUAGGAAAAGUCCAUAUCAUGACCAUAUCCUCUAUAAAAGGGAAGGUCAUCACCUUGUACCAGGAACUUUUUUGACACUUAAUGAGAAUAUACCCUUUUAUUACAUCUUGACUAUUUUAGUGCUCUGCUAGGGUUUGCUUUUUGUACCUUUUCUUACUUAAGCUUACCUCAGAACGCAACAUUGGCGCCGUCUGUGGCUCUAACCUAGAUCUACAAGUGACGUAGAGGGUAAGAGUUACGAUUCAUGGAAACUCGUUCGUGCGGCGUGGGCCGCCGUGAUCAUCGCCGGAGAGGUGGUGGUCGUCAGGGCGGACGCGGCGGCAGUCGAGACAACGAUCGUGCAGUACUUCAAGAGCAAGAGCAGGAGGCUUCCUCGGAGGGUGUUCACUCGGUGGCGCAGUCACCAACGUCGCUGGUAAAACUAGCUCCGGGAAAGCCCUCAGAUCUGAUAGCCAAAUCAGAUGCAAGUGUCAGGCGACGAUCAGCGCCGCCUGAGUACGUAAAUUUAGAAGAUCUUAAGAACAGUGCUCCGAGGAAAGCGCAGGAAGUGAUAACGGGUAUCACGCCUGUGGCUUUGAAGCAAAUGCUGGAUACCUUGCAAAAGGUAUAUAAACCAAAACGAACAGUUACAAGCCCAGGUGGAAUAUUUAACACAGCGCCAAGAUUUUAAGCAGGGACAACGUCUUGAGGCUGAGGAUGUCGUUGAAUUUCAACCUUUUGUUCCAGCCAUCACAAAGGUAGACAUACCAAAACAUUUGCAAACAAUGGCAUUAGAUGCCUUUUCGGGCGAUUCUGAUCCCAUGGAACAUUUGAGGUACUUUAACACCAAAAUGGUUAUUGGUGGGGCGACGGACGAGGUGAAGUGCAGAUUGUUGCCUUCAACAUUCAAGGGAAUGGCGAUGCAGUGGUUCAUUAGACAACCGCCCUUCUCCAUUGACAAUUUUACGGAUUUGUCUACUAAAUUCUUAACUCAAUUCUCCGCCAACAAAACUACAAAAGCAACUAUGUUUGACCUCAUCAGCAUACAUCAACAGCUAGGAGAGAAGCUAAAGACCUACAUGGCGCGCUUCAGUAAGAUGGCUGUUCAACUGGAGGAGGAUAACCCGGAUGUAUGCCUGGCGUCUUUCAAAAAUGGCCUUAGGGCGGGAGAUUUGAAUCGAGAUUUAACAAGACGACCAGCGCAGGACAUGAUGGAUCUUCGUGCUCGCGUUCAGGAAUUCAUCUUAAUUGAACAAGACGAUCAGAAAAAGCAAGAAAGGGAGGAGGGACGGAAACACGCCCAGCCCGGCGGAGUUUCGCAGGACAAACCCAAGGCUGGAAAGGAAACAAGCAUAGCUCAAACUCCACGUGUACCAAGGCCUGACCCAUAUCAAAACUCCAAACCUGGAUUCCAGAAUACAUGGCAUAGAAAUCCCCAAGGUACCACUACAACCUCGGCUGGUCAACAUGUUGCCUCGCCAACUCCAGUUCCACUUACUAAACUGAAUGCGCCCCUAAGCACCAUAUUGAAAGCAGUUGGACAGACAAAUGUUGUGCAAUAUCCGUCGCCACCUCGGCGACCACCAAGUAAUGUGGAUACAAACAGAUGGUGUGAGUACCACAAAACGUUGGGUCACACCAUGGAUAAUUGUUGGAACUUGCGACGGGAGAUUGAUCGGCUAAUUAAGGCUGGUCACCUGGCAAAUUUUGUUAAAGAUGCAACACCACCGGAGGCCGCCAAGGUAACUCAAGGGGACAAAGGAAAAGGAAAGGAGAUAGUAGAGGAAUUGGGCGACCCUGUUGGGGAAUGCUCUGAAGGUAUGAAAAACGGUAGAAAGGGGGGGGGGGUUUGAAUAACGUUUUCAGAACAAAACUUCCACCUUAAAGAUUUUGACAAAUCUUUCGAGAACUUAAGUGCUAAAGAUAAGAGAUAGAAAAGCCCCCAGGAUUUUAUCCUAGUUCACUUGAUAAAUCACUCAAGCUACUCCAGUCCACCCGUUAAGGUGAUUUCUUCCUUCUUAGAAUGAAGGCAAUCCACUAAUCAGGUAAGAGUUACAACUGCACUUGAAACCUACAAGUGACUAACAAUUACACUGACUUAGCUCACACUAAGAUUCACUCUCUUAGUCUUCUCUAGGAUCCGAUCAACCUUGAUCUCCUAAAGGAACUAAACAAACUGUUUAUCAAAGAAUUGUUUACAAGAGAUUUGCUUCUAAAAAGCUAAUUGUAAACUCAAUGAAUUUCAGAUGAAAGAAAGCUUAGAACAUUUUGAAUAUGUCUUGCGCGUGUGUAUUUCUUUUUAUUUUUUUGGCCGCUUCUUUCAAUCUUCAGCCUCUAUAUAUACUCCAAGGAUUAGGGUUGAGCGUUGCAUGGGAAAUGCUACCGUUGGAGGGCAGUUCUGGAAAAUCCAGCUUCUGCUGUGGCUGAGAACGUUAGGUAGGUCGUCAGGAAGGUACACUUGCUUUUGUACUUGGAUAGCGACUUGACCUUUUAACCUAGGAGACUUAUGAUCAGGGGAAUACUUCAUAUUGGAACUUGUGAAGCCGGUCGAUCAGAGUCAGAGGGAAAGCACAGAUCCUCUGACCAUUGUAUCUUCUGAUUCUGAACUCAGAGNNNNNNNNNNNNNNNNNNNNNNNNNNNNNNNNNNNNNNNNNNNNNNNNNNNNNNNNNNNNNNNNNNNNNNNNNNNNNNNNNNNNNNNNNNNNNNNNNNNNUUGACCUGAUUACGAAUUCGUCAUCAUCAUCAACUUCAUAUACUCCUCUUCAUCUCUCCAAUCCACUCAGGAACCUCUCAUAAGAAAGCCUUACUAACGAAGGGGUAGACGGUGCACUGUUUAAAAACAUGAGGGGUAGAAACGUCGACAAAAAUAGAAUAGGGGCAGAAUUUGCACAAACUUGAAACAUCAGGGGCCAAAAAUACUUUUUAGCCUUCUAAAUUUUAUAAACAAAACGGGGAAAGCUUAACGGGGAAAGCUUAAUAAUAGGUGAAGGACGCCUCUCGUUUACUGAAUCUAAUUUUCCCCCUUUUAUUUUUUUUGGGUAAGCAAAAAUGUAUUAAUAGGAGUACUAGGGGUACUCCAACCCUCUAUUUACUAGAGUAAAGGCCCAAAGAGCCAAAGGGAAAAAACCAACAACCUAGGAUUUCAAUCAAAAGACUGAUACUGCAAUACUGCACAGCAAGUAAAAACAGAGGGAUAAAUACUCAGUGGAACAGAGCCCUUGUUACUAAUUUUCCCCCUUUUAUUACAUUUUAACAUCGUUGGUGUGAGAUCUUGACAAAGUAUUUCUUUAUUAGUGUAGUUGUAAGGUCAAUGUUGUUAUGUAGCAUUAUGUAAGCUGCAGUUUGGUUCUUGGAUGAGGAAAAAUCACCCAUAGAUGAUGGAGUAGUGGAUUUAUAAGCUGUCAAUUGCAAGUUUGCAACUCCCAUUCCGAUUUUAAUUUUAAAAAUCCGGUAGCAUUCCAAAUAAACUUCAUGGAGUAUAAAGAACAGUUUCACUCACAAAACUCAAGCCAUAAUCUUGCUAAUUCAGCCAUAAUCUGAUAAUCUCCACUCAUCUGGUUUCAAAGCUAAAUCAAAUAUUUACUUUCAAAGCUAAAUCAAAUAUUUACUCCGUGUUAUGACAGUAGAGUCUAGCUAACUAGCACCAACCAAGAAAAGUUUGGCCUCUAGAUGGUGAAAUUAUGUGCAAUUGACUAGUUAACACCAUUAGAAAAUCAAACUAAUGGUUGUUCACCUCAUCAUACUAGAAAUUAGAAAAUCAUGCUGUGGCAGCUUUCUCCCCAGAGGCUGGCCCACGCUUAGAUACUAAAUCUUUAACAGCUGCUUUCAUAGCAUCCUCAGCAAGCAUGCUGCAGUGAAGCUUGACCGGUGGGAGUGAUAGAUGCUUUGCAAUCUCACUGCAGGAAAUUAAUUAUGUGUUACUUCAAAUACUAACAACAGACAGAACAAAACAAUAUUAAUCAUGGAAGCAUAACCAAGGCUAGAAUCAAAAAGUAGAAUUGAACUCCUACAGAUGGCAUUUAUAGUGGUGUUCAAACCGGUUAUGUGUAUCCAAACCCUAAACCAAUCCAAACCAAACCAAAAAAGUCCAAAUUUUAAAACCAAAAUCCAAACCAGUACAUUUUAAUUUUUAUCCACAAUCAGGAUAACCACUUUUAUAAACAAUUUGGACAUCCAAAAUAUCCAUAUCCAGUAUUCAGUAUUACCACAUAAUUCAAAUCCUAAAUGUGAUUCAACCAAAAAAGAAACUAUGAUGAAUCCAAUUUCAAGACACCACAAUAGCAUGAAUAGAGAAUCUCAUCAGAUAGAAGCUUUUUCCUCUUUCACGCAGAACACUGUUUGUUCCAUGAUAAAAUCUUGAGCAAAAGGAAAAGAAAAAUAAAGUGGAAGGAUCACAAGCGGUAGAUCGAUGUCGCUAAGCCCCAAGUGGGAGAUGGUGCUGCUAAACUCCAACAAAAAUGUCUCCAAGUUUCUUCCCAGUGGAAGGACCUUAAGUCGGAGACUGAUGCUGCUAUGAAAAAUAGCAUGGAUCCAUUUCGGGCACGCACUAUCAGUGUCAGAGCUCCAAAAGCGUCUUCCUGAAAGCAAACGACCACGGAAUUUGCUUUGGACUUUGCUUUCAUUUUUUGUAUCUUAUUGUACAGAUUAUCAUAACAGAGCCUUGUGUCAGUUGUGUGUGCUGCUGAAUAAAUUUCUCCACAUAUUUGGCACUCAAUCUUUGAGCUUGAGGCAGAAUGAGGAUGAUUGGGUAGUGUAAUGACACUCAUCUUAGUUUUCUCCACAAAUUUGGCACUUGAUCUUAGUUUUUUUCUUUAUUCAGAACAACUUUAUAAUCAAAUAGAGCUUUUAGCUGAAAAGCUAUGAAAAUCAAGCCAAAAGAAUGUUUCGAAACUGAUCUUGAGUAAUUAUUGGUUUUAAAACUGGUGUUGAAUCAUAACCGGUUUUAAACCAGUUUACCAUAAACCAAACUGAUUCGAGUCUUGAGAGAUUAAAAAUGGUUCGGUUCAUAAAACAAAACCAUAUAUCUGGAUUUGAAUUGGAUAUGGUUUGGUUUUCAAGAAAACCAAACCAUGCACAGCCCUAGAUGGCAUACGGUCAACAAACCAAAAUGUUUCAAAACAAAGAUGCAAGUAACUUUUCAGCAGCCAAUAGAUUCAUCAACUGAUCAUCAUCGAAUGAGGAGCUGAGAAGAUAAUUAUGAAAGAACAAUGACAGAUCUUCUAGCAUUAAACAUUAAGCCAACCAAAAAAGUUAAUUUUGUACUUAGCCAGUCUUGUUGUCUUCUACAGACCAUAGCAGUCAAUCGCGGAUCGCCAGCCUGUCGCGGAUGACCCCCGAAAAUGAAAUCCCAUACAAGGGAAGGCCGCUAUUGGCCGUGAAUAGUGGGAUUUCGCGGCCGUGAUCCCGUCGUGGCAGGGGUCCUCUACUCGACGCGUAACUAUAAUACAGACUACAGCUAACAAAUUAAACAGAGACUCAAGUGUGAUUUUAAUUUGAUUUCAGGAUAACUUGAUUUCUACUUGCCACAAUUGUUUCUUAGAUGCAUACCACAUAUACAAAUAUGAUUUUACCAGGUUCAAAUUGAACGCAGAACUAAACGAACACCUAAUCAUCUUCUACAGAAACCAACUAAGACUUCAUUCAAUUUCAGGCAUUAAAAUUGAACCCUGCAAGGGAAAAAUAAGAAACAACUUGCUACUUUAACUCAGAAACUAUAUCCUUGGGAACAUGAUCCUCUCGAGUGUAAACUCUCUCAAGUUUCCUAAGUUGAAAUUUUGUGUCGAAGUUGAUAUCCCUCUUCAUAUGUAUUAAAUAUGUGGACUCUUAAGAUAUUAAGAACAUAAAUCAUAAAUAAUUUACAGUAACACACUUGCAGCAAAUGUUUUCAAGAGUUUAUAGGCAGGUGCUUACGUGUUUUUAAUGGUCAAAACUUCCUCCAUUUCCUUUCCAAUUACCCAUUCAGUAGCUGCAAAGAUAGAAACCACAAAUCAGAAACAUAAUCAAUGAGCCAAAUAUGCACUAUGCAUGCCAAAACAACCUAUGGUUUAUAAACCAAUGUAGUAUACCUGUUCAUGUAAAACCCCAAAACCAAAAAAUAGAGAAAUCCAAAAAAACAAAAAAGAACACAACAGAUUAAAAAAAAAACCUAGCUAUUACUUGUUACCCAAAACAACCAAUUUCAACACCACAUUCUUACCGACGGAGGAAGAAGCAAGGCGGAUACNNNNNNNNNNNNNNNNNNNNNNNNNNNNNNNNNNNNNNNNNNNNNNNNNNNNNNNNNNNNNNNNNNNNNNNNNNNNNNNNNNNNNNNNNNNNNNNNNNNNUAGAGAUGCUAUUUAAUAUAGCAAUGAUAUAGAACUAGAUGUUUUUCUAUUAUUAAUAAUCAGGUUUAAAAAGUAUAUUAUAAUCCAUAUUUAUAGUGAGUAUCUUUUCCCUAUUAAUGAAUAAUUAUUUUAUUUACGGUUAUUAUAAUAUAAAUAAUUAAGUGUACAAAGUUGGGCCCAGUGUGUUAUGGGGUUAUUUCAAUAUUUCUCACUAUUAAUAAAUUAGUUCUUUUCUAAUUAAAUUUAUGAGUACUAAAUAAUUUAACUUAGUAAUAAUAACUAGAAAUUGCUAAAUAAUAAAAUCAAUAUAUGACUAAAAUUAAUUUUGUUAUAUUUUUUUGUUACAUAAAAUUAAUAUUUUUAUAUUAAUUAAUUAAUAUUAUUCUAAAUUAUAUAAAAUAUAAAUAUUGAAAUAAUUGAAUUUAGGGUUAGGGUACUAAAAAGGAUAAAAACUUGUUAUCUUAUCCUGUCAUGAUAGUUGUAACUUAAUUCUCCCUCAUGAUAACUUUCACACAUGAUAGACAGGUUAUGAUAUGGGAUAGGAUUGCAUUAUCAUAUACUGCUGACGGAAAAAACAACAAAUUAAAGCAGACCCAUAAUAAUCACUAAUGUUACAGGAAAUUAUGAAAUUGAUGGACAGGUCAAACUAUGAUGAGUCUUUUAGAUUCUAAGUUUAAGUAGUGUGUUAGUAAUUGAGUUGAGUUGUAGUUUGCGAAAAAGUUAGUAGCUUGUUAAAUUGUUAGCAGGAAAUAUAAUUAGUUAUAUUCUUUUAGGCUGGAAUUAGUUUGUUAGAAGAUAGUUAAGUUUCUUACACUACUUCACAUUGUAUAUAAUAAUUUUAGUUCACUUGUAUUGGUAUGUGAAUAAUGAGAAUUUAUACUCUUUCAGUUUUCCCCUUCACGAUUCUCUUGUCAAUUGUCUCCUGUAAUUUGUUCUACCAUGCUUGAUGCGGUAUCAGAUCUCGAUAGCCAAGAUUUGCUUCUAGUUGUUGCGUUAAUGGUGAAGUAGAUAUGUGCUAGAGGAAAUGUUGUUGGGAUUAUCGGGCAGAUACCAGAAUGAUGAUCCUAGCCACAACUCCUCAAGUCCUUACUAUGUCCACCUGGUGAAAAUCCAUUGAUGGUUAUGGUUCCACCAGUUCUAGAUGGCAAGAGUUGCUACGAAUGGGCAAGAGCUAUGAAAAUGACAUUGACAUCAAAAAACAAGAUGAAGUUCUAUCAUGGCAAAAUUCAGAAGCCAAGAUUCAUUUGAUCUGUUGUUUCCUUUUUGGGAGCAUCGUAACACAUUGAUUUUAUCCGGGUUGCUACAAGAAAUUCCACCAGCAAUUGCAAGAAGUGUAGUCUAGAUGGAUAGUGCACAUUAGAUAGAUAUGGGAAGAUUUGAGAGAAAGGUUCUCUCAAGGUAACUUGGUAAGAAUCUUUGAACUACAAGUUUCAAAUCUGCUGCAAGGAACAAUGGAUGUCACUGAGUAUUUGACAAAUCUUCCUGUGGGAAGAGCUUGAGAAUUAUAGACCAUUUUGUGGAUGCACUUGUGUAGUGAAAUGAAAUUGCCAAGCCAUGAUUGACAUGAAGGCAUUUAGAUUGUAAAAUCAAGUUUCCAAAAGUUUUUUGGCAAGGACUCUCAAAGAACCAAAUAUUUUUGUGGUCGUAAGGGAAUCUACAAUAAUCCCUUUCCUUUUAAAAUCCCUUUUACUUGGCCAUUUAAAAACCAAAAAAGGGUAUUAUAAGUGUUAUGUGGAAUACCUUACCAACACAAGGGGAAAAAAAAAGGGGGCCGGAAAAAAAAAAAAANNNNNNNNNNNNNNNNNNNNNNNNNNNNNNNNNNNNNNNNNNNNNNNNNNNNNNNNNNNNNNNNNNNNNNNNNNNNNNNNNNNNNNNNNNNNNNNNNNNNAAGUGUGAAAUUUUUGGGGCCUAUCUUUCUUUCAUAAGGUGUGAAUAGGGGAUGAAUAUUUAUGAAGGGAGAGAUAACCCAAUGUUGUCAAGUGAACUUGAGAGGAUCCCUACUCCAUAUCGGUGCCUAUGGUUUAUAUACUAAUUAUUAUUUCUAUGACGACCCAAUUCCAAUAUUUGCAUAAGCCAUAACUACAAUACACCCAACUAUAGGUCAGAAGAAGAUAAUUAAGAUAAUAAGAUCAUAAAUCAUUUACACCAACACACUUGCAGCAAAUGUUUUCCAAGAGAUUUAAGGCAGGUUCUUACGUGUUUUUAAUGGACAGAACUUCCUCCAUUUGCUUUCCCUUCACCCAUUCAGUAGCUGCAAACAUAGAAACAUCCUCAAUGAGCCAAUUAUUCAUUAUGCAAACCCAAAAAAAAAAACUAUAGUUUACAUCUCCCUUUAUCUCCCCCACCAUCACAAACCUAUGAAUUUCACCCCAAAACCAAAAAACAGAGAAAGCAAAAAACAAAAAAGAACACAAUACCAUAAUCGCAAUCAUCAUGAUACUAACAAUUUGAAGAAAGCAAUAAACAAUUUCAACAUCACAAAAGAUUUAAAAAAACAACCUAGCUAUUAUUCGUUAACAAAAUAGAAUGAACAUAGUUACCGACGGAGGAAGAAGCGAUGGCGGAUCCACAACCGAAGGUCUUGAAGCAAGCAUCGACGAUCUUCCCUGUCUUCUCAUCAACCUUAAUCUGAAGCUUCAUGACAUCGCCACAAGCGGGUGCUCCGACCAGACCGGUGCCAACGUUGGGGUCGUUCUUGUCAAAGGAUCCAACAUUCCGGGGGUUGUCGUAGUGGUCCACCACCCUCUCGUGGUAGAGCCGCGGCAGAACCCUAAUCGCCGGGUGUGGCGCCUCCAACGACGACGACGCCGUUCCGAUGAUUCUCUUCGCGGAUGCUGCAAUUCUCAUCAUUUUGGCUUUUUUUUUGUGGUUGAUCAAAUGAAAUUGACAAGAGUGAAAGAGAUGAAGAAAAUAAAUAGGUUCUUCUUUGACCCUUUAAGGCGGUUUGGUUUGGCUUAGAUACGUGGCGAGAGGAGAUUCUUCUUAAUUGAUGGUUACCAAUUUAGCAUGGACCUCAAAUUAGUUUUCCCUUGUAUUUAAAAUAUCUAUUUUCCCAAGAAAAAUAAAUUCAUUAAAAUAUUUACUUCAGUACUUCCAAAUUCCAAUCAUAUCAUAUUUAUAACAACUAAAGCUUAUUCUUAUUUUUAUCUUAUCAUUUUAAUAAAAGUAUGUUAUAACUAUUUUUAUAUUUAUAAAAACACUAAACUCUAAUUAUUUUUAUUUUGAAAUAAUUAUAUUCAAGUGUUAGUAUAAGAUUAUAAAAAAAAUAUUUACUAAUGUAGAAAAUAUAAGCUUACUUUAUUAAAUUAAAAUAUAGAUUUGUUUUUUAUUCUAUUUAAAUUAAUAUAAAUAUAAAAACGAAAAGAAAUUAAAAUUUUAUUUUUUAGAUAAUAAAUAAUUUGAACGAAGUUAAAAUAUUUAAAGUGCUAUUUAUUUUAAUAUUUAAAUAUCAUAUAUGUAGUGAUGUGGAUAUAAAGUAAUGUUAAAUGGAAAAUGAAUUAUAUAAGUGUCCCCGUAGGAUAGGUUAAAUGGUAGGAGUUGGGGGACAUAUCAACUAACCUAUAAGCUUUCGGAUUUCAGCUAGCUUAUCAGCUAGGCAUGCCAAACAGAGCCUAGUUAAGUGCAUUAAUUUUUUUUCUCAAUAAAUAUUGAACUUCCAAAAUUAUUAUUAACUCAUUUUUUUUUAAAUUUCUAUGCAUCAUUAACAAUUAGGAGAGAGAAAAGCAAGAGAAAUCAAAUUUGAAUUAAAUGAGAGUAUUCUUGUAAACAAAUAAUUUAUGCAUCACAAACGUCAAGUUGGUUCUUAUAAAAAAAAACAUUAAAGUAAAUCCCUAAUUUGAUUCUUAUAAAUAUGACCAGAAUAAAUCCGACAAAUAAUUUAUAGCGUAAAUUACAACAUUAGAUAAUAUUUUUUAAAUGUGUGACUAUAUUUGUCCAUGAUAAGCGCAUAAUUGAUGCACUUUACGUGUGUCUCUCUAAGCUUCAUUCUAUACAUUUUUGUGCUUAAUUGUUAUGACUUAGUCAUGUUCCGACCAUUAGUGCAUAAUUGGAUUAUUCAUAGAAAAGUGCUUAAUUCUUUCACUUUUAGUUUCUGUGACUGUUUUGCUAGAACAGGUUCCAUCUGGAGUUACUAAUAUCCAAAUAGGGCGAAUAAUAUGUCGUUGAAAAGCUAACUCGAAGCCCUACAAUUUUCAUGUGCAGUACAAUUCGAGAACCAGCCUUGAACUUGGUCAGAAUUGCCUUGCAAAGUUGCUGUCGCUAAUCCUGCGAGUCUGGAACAGUCUGCACUAAAAUGAUCAUAUCUUGGGCUACAGAACUCCGAAUUAGGAUCCGAUUGAAGGCCCGCGAAGCUGACUUAAAUAGCUAAGAUUCUCAUGUUUACCGUGAUUGAUGAUUCAAACUCCUUGUGGGACCCGUGAAUUCCUGAGUGUUCAGCAGAUUACUCUUUUAUGUGGGCCCGAUUUUGUGAAGAUUUAGAAAAGAUUUAGAUAACAAGGAUUGUUACUUGAUGAACAAGUUUAUUUAUUAGUAUAAAUAAGUGAGGUUUAGUCUUUUGUUAGACCUCACCACCACCUCAUCUCACCAUAACCUCCUCCUCCUCCUUUCUCUCUCUUUUCUAUAAUGAGUUGCUAAACUCCAUAGUUAGUCUUAGGAUUUUUAAUAUUCUUGUGUUUCUAAACUUGAGGUUCUGUUUUUAAUGAAAAUUCCUUCUUUAUUAAUUCUCUUCAUCUCUAUUUCUGAUCUAGGGUUUGCUUAAUUCCGUAGUUUUAGAAAUAAGAGUUGAUGCAUGUUCGCUUAGUUCAUGUUAGUUCGUAAUUGUUUCUUAAUCGCUUAGUUUAGGAAACUGUGUAUUAAUUUUCGCUUAGUUAAUUAGUGCUCACGAAUUAGGGAAUUGAUAAGGAAGAAUUAAUUUUUUGUAACCAAUGAAGGUUUGUUGCACUUGAAUGUGAUAAUCCGAUGACUAACGCUUUCUCUCUUCUGUCUGAUCUAUUUAAUUAUUGCUUUGUUAUCUUCUAUCAAAUCAAUCAAAAAAACCCCUUUUUAUUUGCUUUUGUUUUACUCUAACAUCAAUUAAUAAUUUAUCAAGUCCUUGUGAGAUCGAUCCUGGUGUUCAAUACCUUGUACUGCAUUCAAAGCAAAAAUACUUUGACACGCACCCGCGACAAUGCGUUCGUCAGUCCAUUUGAAUGAAUUUUUAGUUGAAACUAUAUUUAUUUAAAUAUUUUUAUAAAUAAGUAUAAGUUGUAUAAUAUAUAUACACUAGUACUUUUGACCCGUGCGUUGCACGAGAGAAUUCUUUUUUAUUUUUUAUUGUGUUUUUUCAUGGUUUUUUAAAUUAUUUAUUCGUAUGAAAAGGAGAGAAUUUUUUUGUGAUAAUUAUGUUUUUUUAUUUGAAAUGUUAAUUUAUGUUUUUGAUUGUGUUUGUUAUUUUUCAUUGUCGUAGAUUUUUUUAUGAGUGUAUUUAUUUUUUUAUUUGUGCUAUUUGUAAUUGAUGCUUUGAAUUAAUUCUUUUUAUAUAACAAUUUUUUUUUUGAAAUUGUAUAACAAUUUUUUUUUUGUACUUGACAGAUAUAAGUAGUCUUUUUUUAGUAAAGUCUUAUUUAAUAUUAAGAUUGUCUUUAUAAGUUUCAUAACUCAUAUGAAAUAAAUAAUAAUAAGUUUUUCUAAAAUAAUUUUAAAGUUAAUAGUAUAAGUCCAUAGAAUGACAUUAAUGAAGGAAGAUCAAGAGGAAAGGUUAGGGGAGUUUUUUAUUGAAUCACCUUUAACGUUUAAGGUUUUUUAUUAAUAUUAAUUAUUAGUUGAUUAAUAUUUCAACAAAUCUAAACUAAUAAUAUGUGUCCUAUGAAAUUCCCUAUGUAUGUUCCUUUAGUGAUAUCAUAUUUUAUAUUAAUUUUAUUCUAUGGCAUUCCAUAACUCAAAUGAAUUCAAUAAUAAUAAAACCAUUUACAAUAAUUUUGAGGUUAAUAGUAUCUAUUUAUCUAUCUAUCUAUUUAUACUACUCCCUCCGGUCCUAUUUAUAAGCAGCAAAAAAAAAAUCACAUAGUUUAAGAAAUGUAGUUAAACUAGAUAAAAUGCAUUAAAUAUGUCUUGAAUCAAAAUAAACUUCCAAAAUUACCCUUUGUUAUUAGUGUUGGAAAGUGGGAAAGAGAGAGAAUAAUUAAUGAGACACAUUUUACAAGCUAGAAUUAAUAAGGGCAUCAUUGGAAAAAAAUAAUUAAUAUAGCUCAAACUUUCAUUUGGUUCUUAUAAAAAGGACCAAGAUUUUUCUUCUCUUUCAUGCUUAUAAAUAGGACCGGAGGGAGUACUAGUAUAUGACCCGUGCCUUGCACGGGGGAAUUGAAAAUUAUAUGUAAGUUUCAUUGCUUUUUUAAAAAAUUGUGUAGUUUAUUCUUUAAUUGUUUUGUAAAUUUUAUGUAUUUCGUCAAAGUUGUUUUAUUUUGUCUUGGUUGCAGUGAAUAAUCCUAAUAUGUUAAAUUAAAUCUAAAAAAAUAUUGAGUUUUUUGUCAAAAAAAAAGAGGUUAAUCUUGGCCAAGUUGAUGUUGUAAAGUAUGGUGAUUUAAGUACAAUUUGUUGGCAGUGUGAUUUUAAGGUCUUUUGUAAACUAUAGAAUAUGUGUUAUGCAGAUUAAAUAAAUCAAGGAAGAUGAAUUAUAAUAGACAUUCAUAUGAAAGACACCGCUGGCAGGAUUAAACAUAACUUUGGUUCAUUUUAACCCAGCAGUUAGCUGAUAUUCACUAAAGAUUUUUUGUAUGGUCGGGUGUUAUAAAGAUAAAAUAUAUGUGUUAUUAUAAAUAAAAGUUGAUUUAGUACGUAGAGCAAAAAAUGUAAAUGUGUCUUGAUUAACUAUCACUUUUGCCAACAACAACAUGUUCGAUAUCGCUAGUACUUGGAAAUGCGUUCAACUCGUCGAUAAAUUCAUCGAAUAACACACAUUAAUUUUUAUCCUUCGAAAACAAAGAAUAACUUAACUGCUUGUGUAGUAGUUUACACGUUUAUUUAUUUUAAAAUUGAAAUAAGAUAUUUUUUCGGCUUAUAAUUAACCAUGAGAUUCGAUAUCAAUUUCAUUGAUUUUCGUUACCACUACUCCGUUUCGCUCAUGAGUUUUUAUUGCCGAAGUUCGUAAUAGACUAAACCUUCAGUGAUAAUAUCUUCAAAACGAUUUGCAAUGUCAUUCCUAGCCUCUUGAAUUUUUUGACCCUAUAAAUCAAUUAGGUUCCAAUCAUUGCCUGAUCAUGAAGGAAAAUAAAAUAUAUUGAAUUAUUAAUAAUAGUAUCAGACUCUAUGGAUACAAAUAUUUGAAUCCAUCAACAACAAAUUAUAGGACAUAUGAUGGAGCCUUUCAUCGUCAUCUUCAGAAUACCAAACCUUAAGGACUCUCACAAUAAAAGAUCACUCAUGCGUUGACAGAUUGAUUUGGCCAAGAUGGCUGAAGCAAGAAUUCAUGAUGUAUGUGUUCAAAUGAGAUGAAAAGAACGUGUGAUGGUAAGGAAAAUGAGUAACGUUCUUAUAGUACAAAUUCUGUCAAUUUAUGUCCGCCUAUGUAGUUUUUUGUCAAACAAUAAGUUGCAGCAGAUACGAUGUUGAUGAUUUUUUUAAAUUUUAAUAAGCAAAGGUUUCGUUUUUUUUUUUAUUCAUUAAAAAAUCAAUUUACAAAAGGUUCAAAUCUAAUAAUCUUUUAAUUAAUGCAAGUCUAAAAAUUAGGCAACAAAUGGUAAAAAAAAUUGAGUAUAACUAAUUUCUAAUUGAUAAUUUAGCUCAAAAUUAACAAUUGGAUUAAUAAAUUUUAAAAACAACUACAAAUCUCAUAUAUUGUCAAACACUUCUUUGUAAACUACGUUUUUCAUUUUGUUUGUCACUUUUCCUUCUUUAUCCAGGACUAAUAAUUUGAGUCACUUUCUUUACCUUACCCUUGAGAGAGCUACAUAAAAUUGGCCAUGUGUGAAGAUUGGGCAUGUAAGGUAUAGGCCAACGUGGGACAAUGACUAACAUUGACUUUUAUUUAUAGUCAUUGCAAAGCACAUACUGAUCGGAAAUUGACAUCAUUUAUUUAUGUCCAUUCUUGGAAUGAAAAUUUCAUCCGUUGGUUUUUGUUAUUACACCGGCACGUAUAACAUUUGUUCCAAGAUCAAAUACAAUUAGUCGCGUCCCAUUGCAUAAACCGACUGCAUGAUCUAUAUUUCUUAAAAGCAUUAUCGGAGCAUCUACCUUCAAUGGUAUUUUGUGAUUCGGUAUUCUUGAGCCUGUAAUAUCAUUUAAGAACUCAGUAGUAAACCAUUUUUACUCUAGUUCGGUGUCCUCAUCAGAUUUGCAAGUGCUAUCGGAGCUUAAGUACUCCUUUGUAUCACCUGGAAGUAAUUCAAGGAUAAAAUCAUUAACCAUCUCAACAGAUUCCAAGGUAGGGCACAAUAUCAUCGUUCCUCAAAAAACUUGUCAUUCUUCAUGUUCUACACCAAAUUGGGAAAUGCAAAUCAACCUGAUCGAGAAUUGGAUUUAGCUAUCAUGUAUAAAAGAUCUGCUGAAUAUUCAAUAUUUGAUUCGCCAAACUCAUUUGAAUCGAAAUCAAUAUCACCGAUUUUGAGAAUCUAGUCAACAAAUUCUUUUAUUUAUAAAGCGCUGCCUUGGGAAACCAUUGGCGCCAAAUCACGGUUUCCGGUGGGCUUAAAACCUUACAGUGUUCCAAAGACAGAAAUAUAACUGCGCAAAAACGAGUCUUGCCUCCUUUUUGAAGGACGGAAAAUUGUUGAGUACCCCAGACUACACCUACCCCAAGGGCUGCUAUAUGCUUCACUCUNNNNNNNNNNNNNNNNNNNNNNNNNNNNNNNNNNNNNNNNNNNNNNNNNNNNNNNNNNNNNNNNNNNNNNNNNNNNNNNNNNNNNNNNNNNNNNNNNNNNUUGACAUCUAGUCAACAAAUUCUUUUAUUUAUAAUGCAUGCUUUGGUAAUCCUAUUGUGCCUAAUCUCAUGUUUCCGGUGUGCUUUAAAACCUUACAAUGUUUCCAAAGAUCAGAAGAAUUAACUGCAGCAAAUACGAUGUCUUGCCUUCCUUCUUUUGGAAUGAUCGGAAGAAUUUGUCUGAAGUAACCACCAAGAACUACAACCUUACCACCAAAUGGCUUGUCUAUAUUGCUUUCAUCUUCUUGUCUCAUGAUAUCUCACAAAGUCCUAUCUAGUGCCUCGAAACAAUUCUUAUUUAACAUGAGAGCUUCAUCCCAAAUGAUCAAUUUGGCACGCAUAAGUAAAUUUUCCGUUAAACUACCUUGUUUGAUGUAGCAAGUAAUUAUUUCAUCGGUUUGCAAAGGAAUGGAAAACUUGAAAUGUGUUGUUCUUCCGCCGAGCAACAACAAUGAAGCAAUACCACUUGAAACUACAUUUAGAAUAAUCAUACCCAUUGAACGGAUGGUUGCAGAUAAAAUAUUCCAGACGAAAGUUUUUCCAGUAUAAAAAGAAAAAUCUCAUUAUCAAACAACACUAACUGCAUUAUGUUGUCAUAUGCACCCUUCUAUUCAGCUGUCAUCAUAUUUAUAAAGGAUGCAUAUUUAGUUGUCAUUUCUUCUUUGUUGUAGUUAAGCUCAUCUACUAUGAAAUUGUUCUGAAACUGUUCCACAACAUCAAAUAUCAGAUAUCCUUUGCCAUUUCGUUGGAGCAUUUUUUCUAUCUCAACCAAACACAAAUUUUGUAGAUUUUGAAAAAAUGUCAAAGUAAAAUUGUUAAAUAGAUAACUGAAGUUAAAAAAUAUAAUAAAAAACCCACAAAAUUAAUAUUUUGAACAACCUGGUAUUUGAAGUAUUCUCCUUCUUUCAUGCAAAAUUCCAUCACCAAGUAACCCCCAUGUAGCAUUCCAAACGAAAUUAGGUCUAAUCAUUGUGCUUAUUUUAAAAUGUUACUUUUCUAUUAGUUUUAAAAUUAAAGUAUUUUCAUAUAAAAUGUUCCACCCUGUGGAAGCUUUUUAUCAUAUAAUUUCUACAAAAUCAAAAGUAGACUAUAUAACUAUGUAGUACAUUUAAAUAUAAUUUUAAAAUUGAGAAAUUUAAUUAAAAUUUGUUUUUCUAUUAAUUCUUAAAUGAGUUCUUUGGUGGAGAAGAGAGUGAUGAUGCCUAAAAAACAAAACAAAAAAGCUCCUCUCUACCUAUUCAUGCUCCCCCUUUUACACAUUAAAAAGAAGAGAAUUAUUUGAGGGAGGAUGGGUACACCACACUUCUUCAACCCUCUCUAAACUCCAUUUAAUCACCUUCUUCAACCCACUAAAACCAUUUUUCACAUCACCAUCCAUCAGCACCAUUAUCCAGCUAUAUCCUUCUAUUUCAAAAUAAUUAUGAAUCAAAUAGGAGGGUGGAUGGUAAGGAGGAACACAUUUCAAAAAUCAAAGACACAUCCUUAUAUACUAUCAAUGUCGAGUUACAAACUGCCUUCAAUUUUCACCAUAUGGGUCAUUAUAUAGUUUCAGGGAGAAGUAGAGAAGCAUACAAAGGUAUUAAUUCAAUAAGGAAUCAAACCAAAAUAAUUAUAAUCAAUUUAUGCAUUAUACCUUAUUAAAAAUAAUUUGAAAUUUAAAAAAAUUAAAAUUAAUUUUUCAUCCAACAAUUUUGUAUUAAAUCUAAAGGAGAAAAUAUAAUUUACAAAAAUAUUAAAAUUUAAAAAUAAUGAUGCUUUAUUUUAAGUAAAAUAAAUACAUAUAAAAAACUAAUUUUGAAAUUAUCAUCUAAUCUACAUAUUAAAAAAGACAUAUUUUCCUUUAGAAAUAGUAAUUACCAUUUAAUGCAUAAAAUAGUCAAACAGUAUAAUUAAAAAGGCUUAAAUGCACCUUUGGACCCUCAUGUUUUAACUUUUUGCGAUUGUCAACCUUUAUCGUUUUUUUCUACGAAUGGGAACCAUAUUCUUUCAAAACGCUGCACCGUUUACCCUUCCGUCCAAAUCCGUCAAAAACUUGACGGAACACGCUGAUAUGGCCUUCCACGUGGAUAAAAGGUGGAUUUUUAAAAAAAUGGCUUAAAUGCACUUUUGGACCUUUAAGUUUACAUUUUUUGCGAUUAUUGACCCUGAUCUUAUUUUUAGUUUGAAUGGAGACCCUAAUCUUUCAAAACGUUGCACCGUUUACCUUUCCGUCGGAAGGCCAGGUAAGUGGAACAAUGUAACGACCUAAAUUUUUCCCUCAACUAGAAAUAAUAGGAGUAUUUUAAUUAGUAUUAUUAUUAGUAUUAUUAUUAUUAAUAUUAUUAUUAUAAAUAAUUAAAAUAAAUAAUCAAGUCCUAGAAGUUCUAGAGAAUUCAAAGGAUAAAGAUGAGAAUAAAAAAUUAUUUCAGGAAGGACUAAACUGCAAACUGACUUAACUCUGAAGGACCAAAGUUAAUAACCGACCUAUUCUAUAGGGACCUAACUGUGACAUCAGAAAUAGUUUUAAUUCAAAUUCAGGUCCCUGGUUUUGUCUAUAAAUACCACCACGAAGUUCAAGUUCAAACCAGCUCAAAUUAGAGCAACCCAAGCCUUGAAACUUGGCAUAAACCUUCUCCUCCACCCCCUGAAGCCUCAGCCACCACCCUUAGCCACCAACAACCGCCACAAAGACGGUGGUGAACGGCCAAAAUAGUAGCUCACGGCCAAACUUUGGAAAUUGCUUUCUAGACCGAUUCAUCCCUCCAUUUUUGUUCCAUUAGCUUCCUUGAGUCCAUUAGAGUGUGAACCAACCCAGAACCGAGCUCAAUUGUCCCUGCAAUAGCCCAACCGAGCUCAUAAAGCUCUGAAACUUUGAGCUCUUCGUUCUCACUCAUUUCUCCAUCAAUUUGUCGAUUCAAGUGUCUAUCCUGCUUAUAAUUUCAUAAGGAAGCUAUCUGUGCAAGAAUUUUGAAGCUUGGAGGUCUAUUUUUCAUUCUGCCAUUGUUGACCGGAGAAAGCUUCAAAGAGCUUGUCGUUUUGGCCAAUUUAGAGACCUUCUGAGCUACCCACUUGUACCAUUGAGUUCCUGGGAGUGAGAGGAUCCUUUUCCAACCAUUUUCCACCCUCAACUCUAACUUUUCACCGGAUCUCCGCCGCCAACCGCCACCUUCUCCGGCGGGCUCACCGGAAAAGUUCCCAGAACUUGGAAAAAAUCAUAUUUCCUGAAUCCUUGCAUCAUAAGGAGUCCGUAUACGCAAUCGGUUUUGAAUUUCACUGAGAUUUGAUAUAGUUUCGGAAAAGGAGACGGUACGUAACUUUACGGUUUUAUAACUCACUAAUUGUGACGACUUAAUACGAAAUAAGACUUGAUUAUGAUUCAUGGGAUUAAAAUGAACAUUUAGAAAGAAACGGAAUGAAUUUUGGAUAUCUAGAAUGGAAGUUAUUAAUUUCUCAAGUUUAAGCUAAAUAAUAAUUAAAUAAUUAAUUCCUGGAUAUUAUGGUCGGCUCUGCCGCCUUAUCCACCAAUGGUCGGCUCUGCCGCCUAUCGAAAAUAUAUGGUCGGCUAUGCCGCCUUAUAAGUUAUAUAAUGAUGGUCGGCUAAGCCGCCUGAUUUUAAAGCUAUAGAACGAUGGACGACCUUGCCGCCUAAUUAUUUAAAAAAAAACCGGAUAUUAAAGAAUAACAUGGAAUUUUAUAACCUUAAGGUGAGAAGUGACUAAAGUGAUGUACGACAUUAUUAUUGCAGAUAAUCGAUCGAAGGAUUUUUCGAAGAAAGGUAAGGGGGGGAGAAUGCUCAACUCAUGAGGGAGUAUAGUGUGAAUUAAUAGGUGUUGGACCUCCCUUGGGUCCCUCUUUGUUUUUAAAAAUGAUUAUUUAAAACGGGAUUUAUUCCUGAGAAUUGACUCGAAGAAGGAGCCUCCGAAUCUUUUCUUAAACAUAUUUUUCGAGGCAUCCCGAUUUUUUAAAGAAAAUAUUAUUUGAUCAAUUCUCAGAAUAAUUCCAAGAGAUUUUUAAUGGCUUGCAGAUACUCUAUGAGCAGGAAAGGUCAGUGGCCCCAACUGGACAGUCAAGGCCAGGCUGUGCCAUUGGGUAACGCUGUGAGAUCUAGGGGAUACCGUAAGGGUUGCGGUCCUUGGGGUGUGGUUAGGUGGGACCUAUCAACAGGAGUAGUUGAGGUUUGUCCCAUCCGGAACCUAAUCACACUGCAGGCUCCCAUAGGAUCAUCUUGCCGAGCGGCUUCUCGGUGACUUUCCUGGAGAAUGUUGGGCCCACAUCCUCAUCAUAGUGUGGUGGAUUUUUAAUGAUUGGAUUUGGUUGUGAUCAACAUCCUCGUCUAGAGUGUGUUGAAUCUUGGAUGAUUUUGUUGGAUGCG